UACUCGAAGCAAGAACGGCGAGAACUCCAUGAUCUGCGAUGUCAUUAGCCUCAAUCUCAGGGGGCUCUUGAUCAGACUGAUAGAUACUUGAUACCCCGUCUGUAACAUUUUAUAAGACGUUUUGAGUCCAUGAUAGUGUCAAAAAAACGUCUUAUAUUAUGUUACGGAGGGAGUACAUAUAUACUCCUGUAGGAAUAGUUGCCCUCAUCGGUUGCCGUCCAUACUCCAUACAUACUCGUUCUUAUGCAUACAUACUUGCUGCAAAUGAUUUCUCUCGUAUAAACUUUAGGAUUAAUUCUGAUGGUGUUUGAAAUCCAAACUGGUAUGCGUAGACAAAGAGGCCCUGGUGGCAUUGUUUCUGCAUUGCGUUACAUAUUCUAAUGAUGUGCUCUCCUCCUGUUUGCAUCAUCAUCUUGCAGUCUGCUUGAUUUAUCCUCUGCUUGAAAAUUGCUUGUGAGCUUUACUCUGGUCUCUCAAGGAGGCAAAACAAGUUCUCCAUCAUCAUCUUGCAGACUUAAACUUGUAGCACAAGAGCUUGACUUAAACUUGUAGGCGUGAUAGCAGCACCAACUCAGAGGCCAAAGGCCAUAGCAUCGGAUGCUCUCACCCUCUGCAUACAUACGCGUAAACUGAUUCAGUUCUUUGUCCACCGGAAAAAUACAGUUGGGCAGUCUUCAGUUCUACCAAGCUCAACUUAUGACGCCAUCACCAGGGUAUUUACUUCCUAGAGCAGAAAACCAAGCAUCUAACUCAUCAACUGCUCCCUCCGUUCCUAUAUAUAAGUCUUUUUUGAAGAUUCCAAUAUGAUGGACUGCAUAUGGAGCAAAAUGAGUGAAUCUACACUUUAAAAUAUGUCUAUAUAUAUCUGUAUGUAGUUCACAUUGAAUCUCUAAGAAAGACUUUUUUUUUUGAAAACCCCCAUAUAUUAAUCAGAAAAUAACAAAAUUCUUACAAUUGUUCAUUACAAAGCUAGCCACGCAGGGCGGAACACUAUUACAUAAAACACCGUCUGACCUACUAUCAAAACAAAAUUUAGCAAUCUCAUGCGCCACUCUAUUUGCCUGCCUGUCAAUCUUCACUAUCUUGAAAUCCUUAAUGAGGUCUGAGACACUCAUCGCCUCCUUUUUCAGGUCCACAAAAGGAGACCUGUCAAAAGAAUCUUUUGCCAGAGAAAAAGCAACAGCCGCGCUGUCAGUCUCCAAAAUAACAGGACUUUGGAAUGUAAUACCAAUAUAUAACCCAGCAAGCGCCGCACGAAAUUCUGCUUCAUCCACACAAGUGCACGACCUGAUAAAAUCCCAUGAGGAAACCAGGACUUCGCCAAGGUGAUUCCUGGCAAUUAUCCCAAUGUUGGCAGAUCUUAUGCUCUCCACAAAACUAGCAUCAACGUUUAUCUUAAUAUACCCUUGGUCCGGUGGCUCCCAAUUACGACAAACCUUCGCGAUUGGUGUGAUGUACCUCCCAUUAUCAAUCACCCCCUUACCUUUGAUACUUAAGUCAACUUGCGCACAGUUUUUGACAUUUGUGAAGGAUUUCCAGUAAUUUCCCACAAAAGUGACAGAAGCACAUAAGGAUUCUUUCCCCUUCCCGAAGAUCAUAUCAUUUCUGAGAUGCCAAGCUCUCCAAAGCAUGAAUAAAACUUGAUCACGUUCUGGCGACCGCAGUUGAUCAAGCAGAAUAAACAUCCAGUCCGGCCACGUAAAUCUGAAAAGCUCCUCGGCAGGAAUAUUCCACUCUUCUCUCAUAGCGAAACGGAACGCACGCACCUUUGAACAAGACACAAGGGCAUGGAAAGUACUUUCAUCCUCCAUCCCGCAUAUAGUGCACAUACCUAACACCGUUUGGUGAUGAAUAACUCUGUUUACCUGGGUUGCCAAACUGUUAGAUGCAGCUUGCCAGGCAAAAAUUCUAAAUUUUUGCGGGACUUUGGCUUUCCAAAUAACAUCCCACACACUUCUUUCCUUGUCAGCAGCAUAACUAGACGAUCCUGUCUCGCCCUUGCCAUCCUGAAAGUUUAAAGCCAGUCUAUACGCAUUUUUAACCGAGAACAUGCCAUUUUUCUCAUAGUGCCAAGCAAUUAGAUCUCCCUCACCUAUAGUCUGAAUACGUAAACUUAGGAUCUCCUCAGCAUCAUGGUUAUAGAAACAGGAGCCUGAUUAAAUUUUCAUCCCAUCUUCUUGUUCCGCUUAUGAAUAAUUCAGAGACCCAUUUCAGUCUAGUGCGGUUCUUUUUGACUAAAACUCUGAGGCCAGAAUUUCUAGGUAGCCAAUUAUCUCUCCAAAUAUUAACAUUUUUUCCAUCGACCACUCUCCAUAUGACCCCUUUUUUUAGUAGAUCCAAUCCAUGCACAAUGCCUUGCCAAUUCACGGAGGUAGCCUGCGGGAAAGUAGUAUCCAAUAUGUGACCAUUAGGAUAAUAUUUCACCUUCAAAACCUUAGCACAUAAAGAAUCUGGAUUCACUAGCAACCUCCAAGCCUGUUUAGCCAAGAGAGCUUGAUUAAACAAUCUAAGAUCUCGGAAACCCAUGCCUGCCUCUCUUUUAGGUUUCGUGAGUUUAUCCCAAGCUAGCCAAUGAGUUUUCCUUAUGUGAUCUUCGUCCCCCCACCAGAAGUUUCUUAUAAUUUGAGAUAACUCAUCACAUAAUGAAGCUGGAAAUUUAAAAAUACCCAUGGCGUACACUGUGAGCGCUUGCAAAACUGCCUUUAUUUGAUUUCCUUUUAUACCACUGGAGACAUAUUUUUCAAUCCAGUUUGAAGCUCUUUUUAAUGCCUUGUCUUUUGUUUAUUGGAACUUACCAACCUUCAUUCUACCCUCAUGUACCGGUAAGCCAAGGUACUUAUCUUCAAACCCUUCUGCAGUGAUAUUAAGAAUGACCAUAGUGGCCACCUGAUCCUCCAUACUACACUUUUUGCCAAACUUGAUCGAACACUUAUCGGGGCUCAGAAGCUGACCAGUUCCCACCUCAUAGCCCGACAGAAUAUUUUUAAUGACCAAGGCUUGAUCUAUGGACCCCUUGAAAAACAGAAGACUAUCAUCCGCAAAUAAUAGAUGAGAAAUACCUGGCGCAUGUCUGUUUAAGUGGAAAUCCUUUAGAACACCUUUGUCACAUGCAUCCUUUAAUAACAAAGAUAGGGCCUCAGCCACAAACAGGAACAAGUACGGCGAUAAUGGAUCCCCUUGCCUGAGCCCACAAGAAGGAUAAAAAGGUUCCAACAAUUGACCAUUAAACCGGGCUGAAAAUUUCACUGAAGUAACACAUGUCAUGAUCGAGUUAAUCCAAGUUGGCGCAAAACCAAAAGCCCCUAGCAUACUCUUUAACAAAUGCCAAUCUACGCGAUCAUACGCUUUUGCCAGGUCCAACUUAUAAGCACAGAACUCUCCACGCUGAUCUUUUAAAGUACUUAGCGAAUGAAUACAUUCGAAAGCAAUAAGUGCGUUAUCUGAAAUUAACCUUCCGGGGAUAAAGGCACUUUGAGUGGGAGAGAUCAUACCAUCCAGAAUAGGAAUCAGUCUAUUCACUAGGCACUUCGAAAUAAUUAUAUAAAUGACAUUGCACAGGCUGAUCGGUCUGAAUUCCUUGAUGGACUGAGGAUUUUUCACUUUGGAAAUAAGAACAAUGGUAGUAUCAUUUAUGUCGGCGAAUGUAGUAUUUCAAAAAAAAUUCCUACGAUCACGCAAGAUCUAUCUAGGAGAAGCAUAGCGACGAGCGGGGAGAGUGUGUCUACGUACCCUCGUAGACCGAAAGCGGAAGCGUUUAGUAACGUGGUUGAUGUAGUCGAACGUCUUCGCGAACCAACCAAUCCAAGUACCGAAUAUACGGCACCUCCGCGAUCAGCACACGUUCAACUCGGUGACGUCCCUCGAACUCUUGAUCCAGUUGAGGCCGAGGGAGAGUUCCGUCAGCACGACGGCAUGGCGACGGUGAUGAUGAAGUUACCGGCGCAGGGCUUCGCCUAAGCACUACGACGAUAUGACCGAGGUGUGUAACUGUGGAGGAGGGCACCGCACACGGCUAAAAGAUCAACUUGUGUGUUCUAGGGUGCCCCCCUCCCCACGUAUAUAAAGGAGGGAGGGGGAGGGGCAGACGGCCCUAGGGGGCGCGCCAAGGUAUGGAGUCCUACUAGGACUCCCUAGUCCUAGUAGGAUUCCACCUCCCACAUGGAGUAGGAAAGGGGGAAGGGAGAAGGAGAAGGAAAGGGGGGGCCGGCCGCCUUCUCCUAGUCCUAAUCGGCCUCCUGCCCAAGGGGGGGCGCACCAGCCCCUUGUGGGCUGGUGUGCUUCCCCCUUAUGGCCCAUAAGGCCCAUAACUUCUCCCGAGGAGUUUCGGUAACCUCCCGGUACUACGGAAAAUACCCGAACUUCUCCGGAACCAUUCCGAUGUCCGAAUAUAGCCUUCCAAUAUAUCAAUCUUUAUGUCUCGACCAUUUCGAGACUCCUUGUCAUGUCCGUGAUCUCAUCCGGGACUCCGAACAAACUUCGGUUCAUCAAAUCACAUAACUCAUAAUACAAAUCGUCAUCGAACGUUAAGCGUGCGGACCCUACGGGUUCGAGAACUAUGUAGACAUGACCGAGACACAUCUCCAGUCAAUAACCAAUAGUGGAACCUGGAUGCUCAUAUUGGCUCCUACAUAUUCUACGAAGAUCUUUAUCGGUCAAACCGCAUAACAACAUACGUUGUUCCCUUUGUCAUCGGUAUGUUACUUGCCCGAGAUUCGAUCGUCGGUAUCAUCAUACCUAGUUCAAUCUCGUUACCGGCAAGUCUCUUUACUCAUUCCGUAAUACUUCACCCCGCAACUAACUCAUUAGUCACAUUGCUUGCAAGGCUUAUAGUGAUGAGCAUACCGAGAGGGCCCAGAGAUACCUCUCCGAAACACGGAGUGACAAAUCCUAAUCUCGAUCUAUGCCAACCCAACAAAUACCGUCGGAGACACCUGUAGAGCAUCUUUAUAAUCACCCAUUUACGUUGUGACGUUUGAUAGCACACAAAGUGUUCCUCCGGUAUUCGGGAGUUGCAUAAUCUCAUAGUCUGAGGAACAUGUAUAAGUCAUGAAGAAAGCAGUAGCAAUGAAACUGUGACGAUCAUAAUGCUAAGCUAACGAAUGGGUCUUGUCCAUCACAUCAUUCUCCUAAUGAUGUUAUACCGUUCAUCAAAUGACAACACAUGUCUAUGGUUAGGAAACAUAACCAUCUUUGAUAAAUGAGCUAGUCAAGUAGAGGCAUACUAGGGACACUUAUGUUUUGUCUAUGUAUUAUAUGUACUAAGUUUCCGGUUAAUACAAUUCUAGCAUGAAUAAUAAACAUUUAUCAUGAAAUAAGGAAAUAAAUAAUAACUUUAUUAUUGCCUCUAGGGCAUAUUUUCUUCAGUCUCCCACUUGCACUAGAGUCAAUAAUCUAGUUCACAUCGCCAUGUGAUUUAACACCAAUAGUUCACAUCACCAUGUGAUAGUUCACAUCGCCAUGUGACUAAUACCCAAAGGGUUUUACUAGAGUCAAUAAUCUAGUUCACAUCGCUAUGUGAUUAACACCCAAAGAGUACUAAGGUGUGAUCAUGUUUUUGCUUGUGAGAGAAGCUUAGUCAAUGGGUCUGUCACAUUCAGAGCCGUACGUAUUUUGCAAAUUUUCUAUGUCUACAAUGCUCUGCAUGGAGCUACUCUAGCUAAUUGCUCCCACUUUCAAUAUGUAUCCAGAUUGAGACUCAGAGUCAUCCGGAUCGGUGUAAAAACUUGCAUCGGCGUAACUCUUUACGGCGAACUCUUUAUCACCUCCAUAACCGAGAAAUAUCUCCUUAGUCUUCUAAGGAUAAUUUUGACCGUUGUCAAGUGAUCCACUCCUGGAUCAAUAUUGUACCCCCUUGUCAAACUCAUGGCAAGGUACACAAUAGGUUUGGUACACAGCAUAGCAUACUUUAUAGAACCUAUGGCUGAGGCAUAGGGAAUGACUUUCAUUCUCUUUCUAUUUUCUGCCGUGGUCGUGUUUUGAGUUUUACUCAACUUUACACCUUGCAAUACAGGCAAGAACUCCUUCUUUGCCUGUUCCAUUUUGAACUACUUCAAAAAUCUUGUCAAGGUAUGUACUCAUUGAAAAAUCUUAUCAAGCGUCUUGAUCUAUCUCUAUAGAUCUUGAUGCCCAAUAUGUAAGCAGCUUCACCGAGGUCUUUCUUUCAGAAACUCCUUUCAAACACUCCUUUAUGCUUUCCAGAAAAUUCUACAUCAUUUAUGAUCAACAAUAUGUCAUUCACAUAUACUUACCAGAAAGGCUGUAGUGCUCCCACUCGCUUUCUUGUAAAUACAGGCUUUACCGCAAGUUUGUAUAAAACUAUAUGCUUUGAUCAACUUAUCAAAGCGUAUAUUCCAACUCUGAGAUGCUUGCACCAGUCCAUAGAUGGAUCGCUGGAGCUUGCACAUUUUGUUAGCACCUUUAGGAUUGUCAAAACCUUCUGGUUGCAUCAUAUACAACUCUUCUUUAAUAAAUCCAUUAAGGAAUGCAAUUUUGAUAUCCAUUUGUCAGAUUUCAUAAAACGUGGCAAUUUCUAACAUGAUUCAGGCAAACUUUAAGCAUCGAUACGACUGAGAAAAUCUCAUCGUAGUCAACAUCUUGAACUUGUCAAAAACCCUUUUCGACAAGUCGAGCUUUGUAGAUAGUAACAUUACUAUCAGCGUCUGUCUUCCUCUUGAAGAUCCAUUUAUUCUCAAUGGCUUGCCGAUCAUCGGGCAAGUCCACCAAAGUCCACACUUUGUUCUCAUACAUGGAUUCUAUCUCAGAUUUCAUGGCCUCAAGCCAUCUGUCGGAAUCUGGGCUCAUCAUCGCUUCGUCAUAGUUCGUAGGUUCAUCAUGGUCUAUUAACGUGACUUCCAGAACAGGAUUACCAUACCACUCUGGUGCGGAUCGUACUCUGGUUGACCUACAAGGUUCGGUAGUAACUUGAUCAGAAGUUUCAUGAUCAUCAUCAUUAACUUCCUCACUAAUUGGUGUAGGCAUCACUAGAACUACUGAUUUCAGUGAUGAGCUACUUUCCAAUUCGAGAGAAGGUACAAUUACCUCAUCAAGUUCUACUUUCCUCCCACUCACUUCUUUCGAGAGAAACUUCUUCUCUAGAAAGGAUCCACUCUUCGCAACAAACAUCUUGCCUUCGGAUCUGUGAUAGAAGGUGUAGCCAACAGUUUCUUUUGGGUAUCCUAUGAAGACGCACUUCUCCGAUUUGGGUUUGAGCUUAUCGGGCUGAAACUUUUUCACAUAAGCAUGGCAACCCCAAACUUUAAGAAACGACAGCUUAGGUUUCUUGAUAAAUCACAGUUCAUACGGUGUCGUCUCAAUGGAUUUUUAGACGGUGCCCUAUUUAACGUGAAUGCAGCAGUCUCUAAUGCAUACCCCCAAAAAAUAGUGGUAAAUCGGUAAGAGACAUCAUAGAUCGCACCAUAUCUAAUAAAGUAUGGUUACGACGUUCGGACACACCAUUAUGCUGUGGUGUUCCAGGUGGCAUGAGUUUGUGAAACUAUUCCACAUUGUUUUAAUUGAAGGCCAAACUCGUAACUCAAAUAUUCGCUUCUGCGAUCAGAUCAUAGAAACUUUAUUUUCUUGUUAUGAUGAUUCUCCACUUCACUCUAAAAUUCUUUGAACUUUUCAAAUGUUUCAGACUUGUUUUCAUCAAGUAGAUAUACCCAUAUCUGCUCAAAUCAUCUGUGAAGGUCAGAAAACAAUGAUACCCACCGUGAGCCUCAACACUCAUCGAACCGCAUACAUCGGUAUGUAUUAUUUACAAUAAGCCAGUGGCUCGCUCCAUUGUUCCGGUGAACGGAGUCUUAGUCAUCUUUCCCAUGAGGCAUGGUUCGCAAGCAUCAAAUGAUUCAUAAUCAAGUGAUUCCAAAAGUCCAUCCGCAUGGAGUUUCUUCAUGCGCUUUACACCAAUAUGACCUAAACGACAGUGCCACUAGUAUGUUGCACUAUCAUUAUCAACUUUGCAUCUUUUGGCAUCAGUAUCAUGAAUAUGUGUAUCACUACGAUUGAGAUUCAAUAAACCAUUCACCUUGGGUGUACGACCACAGAAGGUUUUAUUCACGUAAACAGAAUAACAAUUAUUCUUUGACUUAAAUUAAUAACCAUAUUGCAAUAAACAUGAUCCACUCAUAUUAUGCUCAACGCAAACACCAAAUAACAUUUAUUUUAGGUUCAACACUAAUCCCCAAGGUAAAGGGAGUGUGUGAUGGUGAUCUUAUCAACCUUUGGAAUCAUUUCCAACACACAUCGUCACCUCGUCCUCAACUAGUCUUUGUUCAUUUUGUAACUCCUGUUUCGAGUUAAUAAUCAUAGCAACUAAAUGAGUAUCAAAUACCCAGGGGCUACUAUGAACACUAUUAAAGUACACAUCAAUAACAUGUAUAUCAUACAUACUUUUGUUCACUUUGCCAUCAUUCUUAUCCGCCAAGUAUUUGGGGCGGUUCCGCUUCCAAUGACCAUUUCCUUUGCAGUAGAAGCACUCAGUUUCAGGCUUGGGUCUAGUUUUGGGCUUCUUCAUGGGAGUGGCAACUUGCUUGCCAUUCUUCUUGAAGUUCCCUUUAUUUCCCUUGCCCUUUUACUUGAAACUAGUGGUCUUAUCAACCAUCAACACUUGAUGAUUUUCUUGAUUUCUACCUUCGCCGAUUUCAGCAUCGUGAAGAGCUCGGGGAAUCGUUUUCGUCAUCCCUUGCAUAUUAUAGUUCAUCACGAAGUUCCAGUAACUUGGUGAUAGUGACUAGAGAACUCUGUCAAUCACUAUCUUAUCUGGAAGAUUAACUCCCACUUGAUUCAAGCGAUUGUAGUACUCAGACAUUCUGAGCACAUGCUCACUGGUUGAGCUAUUCUCCUCCAUCUUGUAGGCAAAGUACUUGUCAGAGGUCUCAUACCUCUCGACUCGGGCAUGAGUCUGAAAUACCAAUUUCAGCUCUUGGAACAUCUCAUAUGCUCCGUGACAGUUCAAAACAUUUUUGAAGUCCCGGUUCUAAGCCGUAAAGCAUGGUGCACUAAACUAUAAAGUAGUCAUCAUACCGAGCUUGUCAAAUGUUCAUAACGUCUGCAUCUGCUCCUGCAAUAGUUUUGUCACCUAGCGUUGCAUCAAGGACAUAAUUCUUUUGUGCAGCAAUGAGGAUAAUCCUCAGAUCACGGACCUUGUCCGCAUCAUUGCUACUAUCAUCUUUCAACUUAGUUUUCUCUAGGAACGCAUUAAAAUUCAUAGGAACAGUAGCACGGGUCAUUUAUCUACAACAACAUAGACAUGCAAAAUACUAUCAGGUACUAAGUUCAUGAUAAAUUAAAGUUCAAUUAAUCAUAUUACUUAAGAACUCCCACUUAGAUAGACAUCCCUCUAAUCAUCCAAGUGAUCACGUGAUCCAUAUCAACUAAACCAUGUCCGAUCAUCACGUGAGAUGGAGUAGUUUUCAAUGGUGAACAUCACUAUGUUGAUCAUAUCUACUAUAUGAUUCACGCUCGACCUUUCGGUCUCAGUGUUUCGAGGCCAUAUCUGCAUAUGCUAGGCUCGUCAAGUUUAACCCGAGUAUUCUGCGUGUGCAAAACUAGCUUGCAUCCGUUGUAGGUGAAUGUAGAGCUUAUCACACCCGAUCAUCACGUGGUGUCUCGGCACGACGAACUGUAGCAACGGUGCAUACUCAGGGAGAACACUUGUACUUUGAAAUUUAGUGAGAGAUCAUCUUAUAAUGCUACCGCCGAACUAAACAAAAUAAGAUGCAUAAAAAGAUAAACAUCACAUGCAAUCAAAUAAGUGAUAUGAUAUGGCCAUCAUCAUCUUGUGCCUUUGAUCUCCAUCUCCAAAGCACCGUCAUGAUCACCAUCAUCACCGGCUUGACACCUUGAUCUCCAUUGAAGCAUCAUUGUCGUCUCGCCAACUAUUGCUUCUACGACUAUCGCUACCGCUUAGUGAUAAAGUAAAGCAAUUACAUGGCGACUGCAUUUCAUACAAUAAAGCGACAACCAUAUGGCUCCUGCCAGUUGCCGAUAACUGUUACAAAACAUGAUCUCAUACAACAAUUUAUAUAUCAUCACGUCUUGACCAUAUCACAUCACAGCAAUCCCUGCAAAAACAAGUUAGACGUCCUCUACUUUGUUGUUGCAAGUUUUACGUGACUGCUACGGGCUUCUAGCAAGAACCGUUCUUACCUACGCAUCAAAACCACAACGAUUUUUCGUCAAGUGUGUUGUUUUAACCUUCAACAAGGACCGGGCAUAGUCAAACUCGAUUUAACUAAAGUUGGAGAAACAGACACCCACUAGCCACCUGUGUGCGAAGCACAGCGGUAGAACCAGUCUCAUGAAUGUGGUCAUGUAAUGUCGGUCCGGGUCGCUUCAUCAACAAUACCGCCGAAUCAAAGUAUGACAUGUUGGUAAACAGUAUGACUAUUAUCGCCCACAACUCUUUGUGUUCUACUCGUGCAUAUAACAUCUACGCAUAGACCUGGCUCGGAUGCCACUGUUGGGGAACGUAGUAUUUCAGAAAAAUUGCCUACGAUCACGCAAGAACUAUCUAGGAGAAGCAUAACGACGAGCGGGGAGAGUGUGUCUACGUACCCUCGUAGACCGAAAGCGGAAGCGUUUAGUAACACGGUUGAUGUAGUCGAACGUCUUCGUGAUCCAACCGAUCCAAGUACCGAACUUACGGCACCUCCGCAAUCAGAACACAUUCAGCUCGGUGACGUCCCUCGAACUCUUGAUCCAGUUGAGGCCGGAGGGAGAGUUCCGUCAGCAUGCCGGCGUGGCGACGGUGAUGAUGAAGUUACCGGCGCAGGGCUUCGCCUAAGCACUAAGACGAUAUGACCGAGGUGUGUAACAGUGGAGGGGGGCACCGCACACGGCUAAAAGAUCAACUUGUGUGUUCUAGGGUGCCCCCUCCCCACGUAUAUAAAGAAGGGAGGGGGAGGGGCAGCCGGCCCUAGGGGCGCGCCAAGGUGUGGAGUCCUACUAGGACUCCUUAGUCCUACUAGGACUCCUUAGUCCUAUUAGGAUUCCACCUCCCACACGGAGUAGGAAAUGGGGAAGGGAGAAGGAGAAGGAAGGGGGGGGCGGCCCCCUUCUCCUUGUCCUAAUCGCCCUCCUGCCCAAGGGGGGGCGCACCAGCCCCUUGUGGGCUGGUGUGCUUCCCUCUUAUUGCCCAUAAGUGAAGGAAAUAUGCCCUAGAGGCAAUAAUAAAUUUAGUAUUUUUUUCCUUAUAUCAUGAUAAAUGUUUAUUAUUCAUGCUAGAAUUGUAUUAACCGGAAACAUAAUACUUGUGUGAAUACAUAGACAAACAGAGUGUCACUAGUAUGCCUCUACUUGACUAGCUCGUUGAUCAAAGAUGGUUAUGUUUCCUAGCCAUUGACAUGAGUUGUCAUUUGAUUAACGGGAUCACAUCAUUAGGAGAAUGAUGUGAUUGACUUGACCCAUUCCGUUAGCUUAGCACACGAUCGUUUAGUAUUCUGCUAUUGCUUUCUUCAUGACUUAUACAUGUUCCUAUGACUAUGAGAUUAUGCAACUCCCGUUUACCGGAGGAACACUUUUUGUGCUACCAAACGUCAUAACGUAACUGGGUGAUUAUAAAGGUGCUCUACAGGUGUCUCCAAAGGUACUUGUUGGGUUGGCGUAUUUCGAGAUUAGGAUUUGUCACUCCGAUUGUCGGAGAGGUAUCUCUGGGCCCACUCGGUAAUGCACAUCAUGAUGACCCACAAGUAUAGGGGAUCAAUCGUAGUCCUUACGAUAAGUAAGAGUGUCGAACCCAACGAGGAGCAGAAGGAAAUGAUAAGCGGUUUUCAGCAAGGUAUUCUCUGCAAGCACUGAAAUAAUAGGUAACAGAUGGUUUUGUGAUAAGAUAAUUUGUAACGAGCAACAAGUAACAAAAGUAAAUAAAGUGCAGCAAGAUGGCCCAAUCCUUUUUGUAGCAAAGGACAAGCCUGGACAAACUCUUAUAUAGAGAAAACGCUCCCGAGGACACAUGGGAAUUAUCGUCAAGCUAGUUUUCAUCACGUUCAUAUGAUUCGCGUUCGGUACUUUGAUAAUUUGAUAUGUGGGUGGACAGGUGCUUGGGUGCUGUACUUACUUGGACAAGCAUCCCACUUAUGAUUAACCCCUAUUGCAAGCAUCCGCAACUACAAAAGAAGUAUUAAGGUAAACCUAACCAUAGCAUGAAACAUAUGGAUACAAAUCAGCCCCUUACGAAGCAACGCAUAAACUAGGGUUUAAGCUUCUGUCACUCUAGCAACCCAUCAUCUACUUAUUACUUCCCAAUGCCUUCCUCUAGGCCCAAAUAACGGUGAAGUGUCAUGUAGUCGACGUUCACAUAACACCACUAGAGGAGAGACAACAUACAUCUCAUCAAAAUAUCGAACGAAUACCAAAUUCACAUGACUACUUGUAGCAAGACUUCUCCCAUGUCAUCAGGAACAAACAUAACUACUCACAAAGCAUAUUCAUGUUCAUAAUCAGAGGAGUAUUAAUAUGCAUAUAGGAUCUGAACAUAUGAUCUUCCACCAAAUAAACCAACUAGCAUCAACUACAAUGAGUAAUCAACACUACUAGCAACCUACAAGUACCAAUCCCAGACUUAGAGACAAGAAUUGGAUACAAGAGAUGAACUAGGGUUUGAGAGGAGAUGGUGCUGGUGAAGAUGUUGAUGGAGAUUGCCCUCUCCCGAUGAGAGGAGCGUUGGUGAUGACGAUGGCGAUGAUUUCCCCCUCCCGGAGGGAAGUGUCCCCGGCAGAACAGCUCUGCCGAAGCCCUAGAUUGGUUCCGCCAAGGUUCCGCCUCGUGGCGGCGGAGUCUCGUCCCGAAAGCUUGCUUAUAAUUUUUCUUCGAACGAAAGACUUCAUAUAGCGGACGAUGGCCACCGAGGGCCAACAGGGGGCCCACGAGGCAGGGGGGCGCGCCCAGGGGGGUAGGGCGCGCCCCCCACCCUCGUGGCCAGGGUGUGGGCCCCGUCUGGUAUUUCUUCCGCUCAGUAUUUUUUAUUAUUUCCAAAAAUAACUUUCGUGGAGUUUCAUGACUUUUGGAGUUGUGCAGAAUAGGUCUCUAAUAUUUGCUUCUUUUCCAGCCCAGAAUUCCAGCUGCCGGCAUUCUCCCUCCUUAUGUAAACCUUUUAAAAUAAGAGAGAAUAGGCAUAAGUAUUGUGACAUAAUGUGUAAUAACAACCCAUAAUGCAAUAAAUAUUGAUAUAAAAGCAUGAUGCAAAAUGGACGUAUCAACUCCCCCAAGCUUAGACCUCGCUUGUCCUCAAGCGAAAGCCGAUAACGAUAAAUAUGUGCACAUGUUUAGAGGUAGAGGUGUCGAUAAAAUAAAAUACGGACAUGAGGGCAUCAUGAUUAUUCUCAUAACAGCAACAUAUAUGGAUAAUGUCAUAUGAUUUCUUAUGCUCAAGUAAUAAUCUAUUCACAAUGCAAAGUAUGAAUUAGAAACAUUAUUGAGAACUAACAAACUAUAAUCUCAGUCAUUGAGGCAAUUGCAAUUUAUCAUAACAUCAGAAAGAGUCCAAGUCAGAGCUUUUUAGCAAGUCCACAUACUCAACUAUCAUUUAGUCUUUCACAAUUGCUAACACUCACGCAAUACUUGUGGUUACAGAGUUUUAAUCGGACACAGAGAAAGACAGGGGCUUAUAGUUUCGCCUCCCAACCUCUUACCUCAAGGGUAAUGUCAACAAUAAUAAUUCAUCCUAACUUACAUCCAAUUAGAUAUAUAUAUCAGGAUCUUUCCAACAUCCUGUGCUUGCCAAAGGAUAAAAUGUAAAAAGGAAAGGUGAAGAUCACCAUGACUCUUGCAUAAGGUAGAAGAUAAUAAUAAAAGAUAGGCCCUUCGCAGAGGGAAGCAGAGGUUGCCAUGCGCUUUCAGGGUUGGAUGCACAAAAUCUUAAUGCGAAAGAACGUCACUUUAUAUUGCCACUUGUGAUAUAGACCUUUAUUAUGCAGUCCGUCGCUUUUAUUUCUUCCACAUCACAAGAUCGUAUAAAACUUAUUUCCUCCACACCAAUCAAUCAUACAUAUUUAGAGAGCAAUUUUUAUUGCUUGCACCGAUGAAAACUUACUUGAAGGAUCUUACUCAAUCCAUGGUAGAUAUGGUGGACUCUCAUGGCAAAACUGGGUUUAAGGGUUUUUGGAAGCACAAGUAGUAUCUCUACUUGGUGCAAAGAAUUUGGCUAGCAUGAGGGGGAAAGGCAAGCUCAACAUGUUGGGUGAUCCAUGACAAUAUACUUUAUCUCAGAUAUAAGAAAACAUAACCCAUUACGUUGUCUUCCUUGUCCAACAUCAACUCUUUAGCAUGUCAUAUUUUAAUGAGUGCUCCCAAUCAUAAAAGAUGUCCAAGAUAGUAUAUUUAUAUGUGAAACCUCCCUUUCUUUAUUACUUCCUAUUAAUUGCAACGAUGACCAAAGCUAUGUUUGCCAACUCCCAACAAUUUUUAAUCAUCAUACUCUUUCUAUGUGAAGUAAUUACUCUCCAUAAGAUCAAUAUGAUCUCUUUGUUUCUUUUUAUUCUUUUCUCUUCUCUUUUAUUCACUCAAGAUCAUGGCAAAAUAAUCAAGCCCUUGACUCAACACUACUCUUUAUUAUAUAGCUCACGGACUCGAUUACAUAGAGAGAUCAUAGAGCAAAACUCAAGGCUAGAUCACACUAAAAACUUUAUUCUACUAAAUCAAGAUACUACUAAUAGGAUCGAACUAAGAAAAACGGUAAAGAUAGGAGUGUGAUGGUGAUACGAUACCGGGGCACCUCCCCUAAUCUUGGCAGUUGCCAAGGGGAGUGCCCAUACCCAUGUGAUUAUAUCUCCUUUGCCGGUGAAGGGAUUGUUGAUGAUGUAGGCUUGUCGUCCAUCUUCCAAGGCAUAGGCUCACCAUCAUAGAAGGAUGAUCGAGUCUUCGGGAUCCUUAAAUCUGCAGCCAAACUCAUCCUCUUGAAUCUAUAUUCAUACUCACAGUUUUGGUUUUGCAGGUCAUAGAUUUGGGCUUGGAGGUGCUCGAUUUUCUCGUGGAGCUUGAAGAUGGCCUCCCCAAUGUCCUUAGCAUCCAGCUUGUGGUUGUUGGUGAACUCCGUGAUCAUUAUGUGAUUUUAGUCAAGUCCACGCUCCACCAUCUCCUGGCCCUUGAAAACUUGUUGCUCCAUUGCUUCAAGCCUUGUCUCCACGCUUCCGGUCCUCCGUGGUCCCUCAACAUCGCGGAUGUGCAGCAACCCAUCACGCAUCUCAAUGGUUUGAGGGUGUUGCAGCACCUCCGCGAGGUAGGGGUUGAUGACCUUCUCGAAGAACUUGUCCUUGGGGGCGCUUGGAGACGUCAUGAUGAUCUAGAUCUGUCAGAGAAACAGCUCAAAACGAAAACAAAGGAUAUUUGCGUGAUACAGGGGUCAAAAUCUUCGGGAGAUUAUAUAAUGAAUUUUUACUGACCAAAAUACGUAUCGUGCAAGAAAACGGAGUCCGGAGAGCGCACGAGGCGCCCACGAGGCAGGGGGGCACGCCCAGGGGGUAGGGCGCGCCCUCCACCCUCGUGGAUCCCUCGUGUCCUUCCCGGAUUGCUUCUUAUUUUUCUAUUUUUCUAAAUAUUCCAAAACGGAGAAAAAUUGCCAUUAGAACUGUUUUGGAGUCGGUUUACUUACCGUACCACAUACCUAUUCCUUUUCGGAGUCUGAAACAUUCCGGAAGGUGUCCCUUAUGUAUUCCUCCGGGGUUACGGUUUCAAUAACAUUAGUUUCAACAUUUAUAGGAUUACCUGAGAUAUAAUGUUUAAUUCUUUGACCAUUCACCACCUUCGGAUUUGUGCCUUCGAAGUUGUUGAUUUUUAUGGCACCGGAACCAUAGACCUCCUCGAUAACGUAAGGACCUUCCCAUUUAGAGAGAAGUUUUCCUGCAAAAAAUCUUAAACGAGAGUUGUAUAGAAAUACAUAAUCACCUACAUUAAACUCACGCUUUUGUAUUCUUUUGUCAUGCCAUCUUUUAACUUUUUCUUUAAACAACUUGGCAUUUUCAUAGGCUUGGGUUCUCCAUUCAUCAAGUGAGCUAAUGUCAAAUAACCUCUUCUCACCGGCAAGUUUGAAAUCAUAGUUGAGCUCUUUAAUGGCCCGAUAAGCCUUAUGUUCUAGUUUGAGAGGUAAGUGACAUGCUUUUCCAUAAACCAUUUUAUACGGAGACAUACCCAUAGGAUUUUUAUAUGUAGUUCUAUAGGCCCAUAAUGCAUCAUCAAGUUUCUUGGACCAAUUCUUUCUAGAUCUAUUAACAGUCUUUUGCAAAAUUAAUUUGAGCUCUCUAUUACUCAACUCUACUUGACCACUAGACUGUGGGUGAUAAGGAGAUGCAAUUCUAUGACUAGCAUCAUACUUAGCAAGCAUUUUACGAAAGGCACCAUGAAUAAAAUGUGAACCACCAUCAGUCAUUAAAUAUCUAGGGACUCCAAACCUCGAAAAAAUAACUUCUUUAAGCAUCUUAAUAGAGGUGUUAUGAUCAGCACUACUAGUUGGAAUAGCUUCUACCCACUUAGUAACGUAAUCAACAGCAACUAAAAUAUGUGUGUAACCAUUAGAGGUAGGAGAAGGUCCCAUAUAAUCAAAGCCCCAAACAUCACAUGGUUCAAUAACAAGUGAAUAAUUCAUAGGCAUUUCUUGACGUCUACUAAUGUUACCAAUUAUUUGACAUUCAUCACAAGAUAAAACAAACUUACGGGCAUCCUUGAAGAGAGUAGGCCAAUAAAAACCGGAUUGCAAUACCUUAUGUGCAGUUCUAUCUCCAGCGUGGUGUCCUCCAUAAGCCUCGGAGUGACACUUGCGUAGGAUCUGUUCCUGUUCAUGCUCAGGUACACAACGUCUAAUAACACCAUCUACUCCUUUAUAAAGAUGUGGGUCAUCCCAAAAGUAAUGUCUCAAAUCAUAGAAAAACUUUUUCUUUUGCUGGUAUGUGAAACUAGGUGGUAUAAAUUUAGCAACAAUGUAAUUAGCAUAAUCAGCAUACCAUGGAGCAGUACGAUAAACAUUUAUGACAUUUAAUUGUUCAUCAGGAAUGCUAUCAUCAAUAGGUAGUGGGUCAUGAAGAACAUUUUCUAACCUAGACAAGUUGUCUGCAACGGGGUUCUCAGCUCCCUUUGUAUCAAUAAUAUGCAAAUCAAAUUCUUGUAGCUGGAGAACCCAUCUAAUAAGUCUAGGUUUAGCAUCUUUCUUUUCCAUAAGAUAUUUAAUAGCAGCAUGGUCAGUGUGAAUAGUUACUUUAGAAUCAACAAUAUAAGGUCUGAACUUAUCACAAGCAAAUACAACUGCUAAGAAUUCUUUUUCAGUAGUAGCAUAAUUUCUCUGAGCAUUGUCUAGAGUUUUACUAGCAUAUUGAAUAACAUUUAAUUUCUUAUCAACUCUUUUCCCUAUAACAGCACCUACAGCAUAAUCACUAGCAUCACACAUAAUUUCAAAGGGUAAAUUCCAAUCAGGUGGCUGAACAAUAGGUGCAGAGAUCAAUGCUCUCUUAAGUAUUUCAAAUGCUUCUACACAAUCAUCAUCAAAGACAAAUGGUAUAUAUUUUUGUAAUAAAUUAGUCAGAGGCCGAGAAAUUUUUGAGAAGUCCUUAAUGAACCUCCUAUAAAAACCGGCAUGGCCAUGGAAACUUCUUAUACCUUUGAUGUCCUUGGGACAUGGCAUCUUUUCAAUAGCAUCAACCUUAGCUUUAUCAACUUCAAUACCUUUUUCAGAAAUUUUAUGCCCCAAGACGAUACCUUCAUUAACCAUAAAGUGGCAGUUUUCCCAAUUCAAGACAAGAUUAGUUUCUUCACAUCUCUACAAAACUCGAUCAAGGUUGCUCAAGCAAUCAUCAAAAGAGGAUCCAUAGACGGAAAAAUCGUCCAUGAAAACCUCACAAAUCUUUUCACAAAAGUAAGAGAAUAUAGCCAUCAUGCAUCUUUGAAAGGUAGCAAGUGCAUUAUAUAAACCAAAAGGCAUCCGUCUAUAAGCAAAAGUACCGAAAGGGCAAGUAAAAGUGGUCUUUGAUUGAUCAUCGGCUGACACAGGUAUUUGAGAGAAACCAGAAUAACCAUCUAGAAAGCAAAAAUGUGUGUGUUUGGAUAAUCUUUCUAGCAUUUGAUUGAUAAAAGGUAAGGGUAAUGAUCCUUUUUAGUAGCCUUAUUUAAUUUGCGGAAAUCAAUUACCAUCCUAUAACCUGUAAUAAUUCUUUGCGGGAUCAAUUCAUCUUUAUCAUUAGGAACGACGGUAAUACCUCCCUUUUUAGGGACACAAUGGACAAGACUUACCCACUGACUAUCAGCAACGGGAUAAAUAAUAGCUGCCUCAAGAAGCUUUAGUAUUUCCUUUCUUACCACUUCUUUUAUCUUAGGAUUCAGCCGUCGUUGGUGAUCACGAACUGGUUUGGCAUCUUUCUCCAAAUUUAUUUUGUGCUGGCAUAGAGUGGGACUAAUGCCCUUAAGAUCAUCAAGAGUAUAUCCAAUAGCAGCGCGGUGCUUCUUCAGAGUUUUCAAUAAUCUCUCUUCUUCAUGCUCUGAAAGGUUAGCACUAAUAAUAACAGGAUAUAUCUUUUUCUCAUCAAGAUAAGCAUAUUUAAGAGUAUCAGGUAACGGUUUAAGCUCAAACACGGGAUCACCCUUGGGUGGAGGAGGGUCCCCUAGGAUUUCAACAGGAAAAUUGUAUUUCAGGAUGGGUUCCUGUUUAAAGAAUACUUCAUCUAUUUCCCUUCUUUCAUUCAUAAACAUAUCAUUUUCAUGGUCUAGCAAAUAUUGUUCUAAAGGAUCACUAGGAGGUAUGGCAAUUGAAGCAAGACCAAUAAUUUCAUCUUCAGUAGGCAAUUCCUCUUCAUAGUGUUGUCUACGAAAUUUAGAGAAAUUAAACUCAUGAGACAUAUCACCUAAACCAAUAGUAACAACAUCCUUUUCACAAUCUAUCUUAGCAUUAACUGUGUUCAAGAAGGUCUACCAAAAAUAAUGGGACAAAAGCUAUCUUGUGGGGAACCAAGAACAAGAAAAUCAGCAGGAUAUUUAGUUUUCCCACACAAGACUUCAACAUCUCUAACAAUUCCAAUGGGUGAAAUACUAUCUCUAUUGGCAAGCUUGAUGGUAACAUCAAUAUCUUCUAUCUCAGCAGGUGCAAUAUCAUGCAUAAUUUCUUUGUAUAAGUCAUGAGGUAUAGCACUAGCACUGGCACCCAUAUCACAUAAGCCAUGAUAAUGAUGAUCUCCUAUUUUAACAGAAAUAACAGGCAUGCCUACCACAGGUCUAUGUUUAUCUUUAACACAAGGUUUGGCAAUUCUAGCAGUUUCAUCACAGAAAUGAAUAACAUGCCCAUCGAUAUUAUCAGACAAGAGAUCUUUAACAAUAGCAAUAUUAGGUUCAACUUUAACUUGCUCAGGAGGUGUAUAAGUUCUAAUAUUGCUUUUACAAACCACAGUUGAAGCUUUAGCAUGAUCUUUUAUCCUAACAGGAAAAGGUGGUUUCUCAACAUAAGCAGUAGGAACAAUAGGAUCAUUAUAAGUGAUAGUCUUUUCUUCAACUUUAAUAGGUGCAGCUACUUUUACUUCUAUGGGAGGAUGAUAUUUAAACCACUUCUCUUUAGGGAGAUCAACAUGAGUAGCAAAAUAUUCACAAAAGGAAGCUACUAUCUCAAAGUCAAGUCCAUAUUUAGUGCUAAAUUUACGGAAAACAUCGGUAUCCAUAAAAGAUUUAACACAAUCAAACAUAGGUGUCAUACCUGACUCCUUACCUUCGUCGAGGUCCCAAUCUUCAGAGUUGCGUUUAAUUCUUUCCAAUAAAUCCCAUUUAAAUUCAAUAGUCUCCAUCAUAAAAGAACCAGCACAAGAAGUAUCGAGCAUGGUGCGAUUGUUAUCAAAAAGCCGAGCAUAAAAUUUUUGAAUAAUUAUUUCUCUUGGAAGGUCAUGAUUGGGGCAUGAAUAUAACAUUGAUUUAAGCCUCCCCCAAGAUUGAGCGAUGCUUUCUCCUUCACGAGGCCAAAAAUUGUAUAUAUAAUUGCGAUCAAGAUGAACAAGAUGCAUAGGAUUAAACUUCUGAUGAAAUUCCAAUUUCAAUCGUUUGUAGUUCCAUUUUCCCAUAUCAUCACAUAGCCUAUACCAUGUCAAUGCAUCUCCCUUCAAAGAUAAAGGGAAGACAUUCUUCUUAAUAACAUCAUCGGGCACACCUGCAAGCUUAAAUAAUCCACAAACUUCAUCCACAUAUAUUAGGUGCUCAUCAGGAUGCAUUGUUCCGUCUCCUGCAAAAGGAUUAGCUAGCAGUUUUUCUAUCAUACCCGAAGGAAUCUCAAAGUAGACAUUUUCAUUUUCAGUAGGUUCAGUAGGUUGAGGAGCAACUCUUUGCUCUACUGGUCGGGGUGAAGAUACCCCGAACAAGCCCCUCAAAGGAUUACUUUCCAUAGUAACAAGUGACAGUAAAUUUCAGCACACUAUAUAAAUUUUUCCUUACCAAAUUCCACGAACCAAAGGCGCUUCACUCCCCGGCAACGGUGCCAGAAAAGAGUCUUGAUGACCCACAAGUAUAGGGGAUCUAUCGUAGUCCUUUCGAUAAGUAAGAGUGUCGAACCCAACAAGGAGCAGAAGGAAAUGAUAAGCGGUUUUCAGCAAGGUAUUCUCUGCAAGCACUGAAAUUAUAGGUAACAGAUAGUUUUGUGAUAGGAUAAUUUGUAACGAGCAACAAGUAAAAAAGUAAAUAAAGUGCAGCAAGGUGGCCCAAUCCCUUUUGUAGCAAAGGACAAGCCUGGACAAACUCUUAUAUAGAGAAAAGCGCUCCCGAGGACACAUGGGAAUUAUCGUCAAGCUAGUUUUCAUCACGUUCAUAUGAUUCGCGUUCGGUACUUUGAUAAUUUGAUAUGUGGGUGGACCGGUGCUUGGGUGCUGUCCUUACUUGGACAAGCAUCCCACUUAUGAUUAACCCCUAUUGCAAGCAUCCACAACUACAAAAGAAGUAUUAAGGUAAACCUAACCAUAGCAUGAAACAUGUGGAUCCAAAUCAGCCCCUUACGAAGCAACGCAUAAACUAGGGUUUAAGCUUCUGUCACUCUAGCAACCCGUCAUCUACUUAUUACUUCCCAAUGCCUUCCUAUAGGCCCAAAUAAUGGUGAAGUGUCAUGUAGUCGACGUUCACAUAACACCACUAGAGGAUAGACGAGAUACAUCUCAUCAAAAUAUCGAACGAAUACCAAAUUCACAUGACUACUAGUAGCAAGACUUCUCCCAUGUCAUCAGGAACAAACGUAACUACUCACAAAGCAUAUUCAUGUUCAUAAUCAGAGGAGUAUUAAUAUGCAUAUAGGAUCUGAACGUAUGAUCUUCCACCAAAUAAACCAACUAGCAUCAACUACAAGGAGUAAUCAACACUACUAGCAACCUACAGGUACCAAUCCCAGACUUAGAGACAAGAAUUGGAUACAAGAGAUGAACUAGGGUUUGAGAGGAGAUGGUGCUGGUGAAGAUGUUGAUGGAGAUUGCCCUCUCCCGAUGAGAGGAGCAUUGGUGAUGACGAUGGCGAUGAUUUCCCCCUCCCGGAGGGAAGUGUCCCCGGCAGAACAGCUCUGCCGAAGCCCUAGAUUGGUUCCGCCUCAUGGCGGCGGAGUCUCGUCUCGAAAGCUUGCUUAUAAUUUUUCUUCGGACGAAAGACUUCAUAUAGCAGAAGAUGGCCACCGGAGGGCCAACAGGGGGCCCACGAGGCAGGGGGCACGCCCAGGGGGGUAGGGCGCGCCCCCACCCUCGUGGCCAGGGUGUAGGCCCCCUCUGGUAUUUCUUCUGCUCAGUAUUUUUUAUUAUUUCCAAAAAUAACUUUCAUGGAGUUUCAGGACUUUUGGAGUUGUGCAGAAUAGGUCUCUAAUAUUUGCUCCUUUUCCAGCCCAGAAUUCCAGCUGCCGGCAUUCUCCCUCUGUAUGUAAACCUUGUAAAAUAAGAGAGAAUAGGCAUAAGUAUUGUGACAUAAUGUGUAAUAACAACCCAUAAUGCAAUAAAUAUUGAUAUAAAAGCAUGAUGCAAAAUGGACGUAUCACAUCACUAUAAGCCUUGCAAGCAUUGCAACUAACGAGUUAGUUGCGGGAUGAUGUAUUACAGAACGAGUAAAGAGACUUGCCGGUAACGAGAUUGAACUAGGUAUUGAGAUACCGACGAUCGAAUCUCGGGCAAGUAACAUACCGAUGACAAAGGGAACAACGUAUGUUGUUAUGCGGUCUGACCGAUAAAGAUCUUCAUAGAAUAUGUGGGAGCCAAUAUGAGCAUCCAGGUUCCACUAUUGGUAAUUGACCGAAGACGUGUCUCGGUCAUGUCUACAUAGUUCUCGAACCCGUAGGGUCCGCACGCUUAAAGUUUAUGACGGUUAUAUUAUGAGUUUACGUGUUUUGAUAUACUGAAGGUUUCGGACAUUUAUCGGAGUACCGGGGGUUACCGAACCCUCCCACCCCCCGGGAACUAAUGGGCCUUGUUGGGCCCUAGUGGAGAGAGAGAGGGGCCGGCCAGGGCAAGAGGCGCGCCCCUCCCCUUGAGUCCGAAUAGGACAAGGAAGGGGGGGCGGCGCCCCCCUUGCCUUUCCCCUCUCCCACUCCUUCCUCGCCCCUCCUUCUUGGACUAGGAAAGGGAGGGGCAAACCUACUUGGAGUAGGUUUCCCCCUCCUAGGGCGCGCCACCCCCUUGGCCGGCCCUCGCCUCCUCCCCCCCUUUAUAUACGGAGGAGGGGGCACCCCAUAGACAGAACAAUUGAUCUCUUGAUCUCAUAGCCGUGUGCGGUGCCCCCCUCCACCAUAAUCCACCUCGAUAAUUUCAUAGCGGUGCUUAGGCGAAGCCCUGCGUCGGUAGAACAUCAUCAUCGUCACCACGCCGUCGUGCUGACGAAACUCUCCCUCAACACUCGGCUGGAUCGGAGUUCAAGGGACGUCAUCGAGUUGAACAUGUGUAGAACUCGGAGGUGCCGUGCGUUCGGUACUUGAUCGGUCGGAUUGUGAAGACGUACGACUACAUCAACCGCGUUGUGCUAACGCUUCCGCUUUCGGUCUACGAGGGUACAUUGACACACUCUCGCCUCUCGUUGCUAUGCAUCACCAUGAUCUUGCGUGUGCGUAGGAAAAUUUUGAAAUUACUACGUUCCCCAAUAGUGGUAUCAGAGCCAGGUUUUAUGCAUUGAUGUAAUACGCACGAGUAGAACACAAGUGAGUUGUGGGCGAUAUAAGUCAUACUGCUUACCAGCAUGUCACACUUUGGUUCGGCGAUAUUGUUGGAUGAAGCGGCUCGGACCGACAUUACGCGUACGCUUACGCGAGACUGGUUCUACCGACGUGCUUUGCACACAGGUGGCUGGCGGGUGUCAGUUUCUCCAACUUUAGUUGAACCGAGUGUGGCUACGCCGGUCCUUGAGAAGGUUAAAACAGCACUAACUUGACAAACUUUCGUUGUGGUUUUGAUGCGUAGGUAAGAACGGUUCUUGCUCAGCCCGUAGCAGCCACGUAAAACUUGCAACAACAAAGUAGAGGACGUCUAACUUGUUUUUGUAGGGCAUGUUGUGAUGUGAUAUGGUCAAGGCAUGAUGCUAUAUUUUAUUGUAUGAGAUGAUCAUGUUUUGUAACCGAGUUAUCGGCAACUGGCAGGAGCCAUAUGGUUGUCGCUUUAUUGUAUGCAAUGCAAUCGCCCUGUAAUGCUUUACUUUAUCACUAAGCGGUAGCGAUAGUCGUAGAAGCAUAAGUUGGCGAGACGACAACGAUGCUACGAUGGAGAUCAAGGUGUCACGCCGGUGACGAUGGUGAUCAUGAUGGUGCUUCGGAGAUGGAGAUCACAAGCACAAGAUGAUGAUGGCCAUAUCAUAUCACUUAUAUUGAUUGCAUGUGAUGUUUAUCUUUUAUGCAGCUUUGAUUGACGAUAGCAUUAUAAGAUGAUCUCUCACUAAAUUAUCAAGGUAUAAGUGUUCUCCCUGAGUAUGCACCGUUGUGAAAGUUCUUCGUGCUGAGACACCAUGUGAUGAUCAGGUGUGAUAGGCUCUACGUUCAAAUACAACGGGUGCAAAACAGUUGCACACGUAGAAUACUCAGGUUAAACUUGACUAGCCUAGCAUAUAACAGAUAUGGCCUUGAAACACUGAGACCGAAAGGUCGAGCGUGAAUCAUAUAGUAGAUAUGAUCAACAUAGUGAUGUUCACCAUUGAAACUACUCCAUCUCACGUGAUGAUCGGACAUGGUUUAGUUGAUAUGGAUCACGUGAUCACUUAGAGGAUUAGAGGGAUGCCUAUCUAAGUGGGAGUUCUUAAGUAAUAUGAUUAAUUGAACUUAAAUUUAUCAUGAACUUAGUACCUGAUAGUAUUUUGCUAGUCUAUGUUGAUUGUAGAUAGAUGGCCCGUGCUAUUGUUCCGUUGAAUUUUAAUGCGUUCCUUGAGAAAGCAAAGUUGAAAGAUGAUGGUAGCAAUUACAUGGACUGGGUCCAUAACUUGAGGAUUAUCCUCAUUGCUGCACAGAAGAAUUACGUCUAGGAAGCACCGCCUGGUGCCAGACCUGCUGCAGGAGCAACACCAGAUGUUAUGAACGUCUGGCAGAGCAAAGCUGAUGACUACUCUAUAGUUCAGUGUGCCAUGCUUUACGACUUAGAACCGGGACUUCAACGACGUUUUGAACGUCAUGGAGCAUAUGAGAUGUUCCAGGAGUUGAAGUUAAUAUUUCAAGCAAAUGCCCGGAUUGAGAGAUAUGAAGUCUCCAAUAAGUUCUACAGCUGUAAGAUGGAGGAGAAUAGUUCUGUCAGUGAGCAUAUACUCAGAAUGUCUGGGUAUAACAAUCACUUGAUUCAACUGGGAGUUAAUCUUCCGGAUGAUAGCGUCAUUGACAGAAUUCUUCAAUCACUGCCACCAAGCUACAAGAGCUUCGUGAUGAACUAUAAUAUUCAAGGGAUGGAUAAGACGAUUCCCGAGCUCUUCCCAAUGCUAAAGGCUGCGGAGGUAGAAAUCAAGAAGGAGCAUCAAGUGUUGAUGGUCAACAAGACCACUAGUUUCAAGAAAAAGGGCAAAGGGAAGAAGAAGGGGAACUUCAAGAAGAACAGCAAACAAGUUGCUGCUCAGGAGAAGAAACCCAAGUCUGGACCUAAGCCUGAGACUGAGUGCUUCUAUUGCAAACAGACUGGUCACUGGAAGCGGAACUGCCCCAAGUAUUUGGCGGAUAGGAACGAUGGCAAGGUGAACAAAGGUAUAUGUGAUAUACAUGUUAUUGAUGUGUACCUUACUAAUGCUCGCAGUAGCACCUGGGUAUUUGAUACUGGUUCUAUUGCUAAUAUUUGCAACUCGAAACAGGGACUACGGAUCAAGCGAAGAUUGGCUAAGGACGAGGUGACGAUGCGCGUGGGAAAUGGUUCCAAAGUCGAUGUGAUCGCGGUCGGCACGCUACCUCUACAUCUACCUUCGGGAUUAGUUUUAGACCUGAAUAAUUGUUAUUUGGUGCCAGCGUUGAGCAUGAACAUUAUAUCUGAAUCUUGUUUGAUGCGAGACGGUUAUUCAUUUAAAUCAGAGAAUAAUGGUUGUUCUAUUUAUAUGACUAAUAUCUUUUAUGGUCAUGCACCCUUGAAGAGUGGUCUAUUUUUGUUGAAUCUCGAUAGUAGUGAUACACAUAUUCAUAAUAUUGAAGCCAAAAGAUGCAGAGUUGAUAAUGAUAGUGCAACUUAUUUGUGGCACUGCCGUUUAGGUCAUAUUGGUGUAAAGCGCAUGAAGAAACUCCAUACUGAUGGACUUUUGGAACCACUUGAUUAUGAAUCACUUGGUACUUGCGAACCAUGCCUCAUGGGCAAGAUGACUAAAACGCCGUUCUCCGGAACUAUGGAGCGAGCAACAGAUUUGUUGGAAAUUAUACAUACAGAUGUAUGUGGUCCGAUGAAUGUUGAGGCUCGCGUCGGGUAUCGUUAUUUUCUCACCUUCACAGAUGAUUUAAGCAGAUAUGGGUAUAUCUACUUAAUGAAACAUAAGUCUGAAACAUUUGAAAAGUUCAAAGAAUUUCAGAGUGAAGUUGAAAAUCAUCGAACAAGAAAAUAAAGUUUCUACGAUCUGAUCGUGGUGGAGAAUAUUUGAGUUACGAGUUUGGUCUUCAUUUGAAACAAUGCGGAAUAGUUUCACAACUCACGCCACCCGGAACACCACAGCGUAAUGGUGUGUCCGAACAUCGUAAUCGUACUUUACUAGAUAUGGUGCGAUCUAUGAUGUCUAUUACUGAUUUACCGCUAUCGUUUUGGGGUUAUGCUCUAGAGACAGCUGCAUUCACGUUAAAUAGGGCACCAUCUAAAUCCUUUGAGAUGACGCUUUAUGAACUAUGGUUUGGCAAGAAACCAAAGUUGUUGUUUCUUAAAGUUUGGGGCUGCGAUGCUUAUGUGAAAAAGCUUCAACCUGAUAAGCUCGAACCCAAAUCGGAGAAAUGUGUCUUCAUAGGAUACCCAAAAGAGAUUGUUGGGUACACCUUCUAUCACAGAUCCAAAGGCAAGACUUUUGUUGCUAAAUUUGGAAUCUUUCUAGAGAAGGAGUUUCUCUCGAAAGAAGUGAGUGGGAGGAAAGUAGAACUUGAUGAGGUAACGGUACCUGCUCCGUUAUUGGAAAGUAGUUCAUCACAGAAACCGGUUCCUGUGACACCUACACCAAUUAGUGAGGAAGUUAAUGAUGAUGAUCAUGAAACUUCAGAUCAAGUUGUUACUGAACCUCAUAGGUCAACCAGAGUAAGAUCCGCACCAGAGUGGUACGGUAAUCCUGUUCUGGAGGUUAUGUUACUAGACCAUGACGAACCUACGAACUAUGAAGAAGCGAUGGUGAGCCCAGAUUCCGCAAAAUGGCUUGAGGCCAUGAAAUCUGAGAUGGGAUCCAUGCAUGAGAACAAAGUGUGGACUUUGGUUGACUUGCCCGAUGAUCGGCAAGCAAUUGAGAAUAAAUGGAUCUUCAAGAAGAAGACUGACGCUGACGGUAAUGUUACUGUCUAUAAAGCUCGACUUGUUGCAAAAGGUUUUCGACAAGUUCAAGGGAUUGACUACGAUGAGACUUUCUCACCCGUAGCGAUGCUUAAGUCUGUCCGAAUCAUGUUAGCAAUUGCCGCAUUUCAUGAUUAUGAAAUUUGGCAAAUGGAUGUAAAAACUGCAUUCCUGAAUGGAUUUCUGGAAGAAGAGUUGUAUAUGAUGCAGCUAGAAGGUUUUGUCGAUCCAAAGGGAGCUAACAAAGUGUGCAAGCUCCAGCGAUCCACUUAUGGACUGGUGCAAGCCUCUCGGAGUUGGAAUAAACGCUUUGAUAGUGUGAUCAAAGCAUUUGGUUUUAUAUAGACUUUUGGAGAAGCCUGUAUAUACAAGAAAGUGAGUGGGAGCUCUGUAGCAUUUCUGAUAUUAUAUGUGGAUGACAUAUUGCUGAUUGGAAAUGACAUAGAAUUUCUGGAUAGCAUAAAGGGAUACUUGAAUAAGAGUUUUUCAAUGAAGGACCUCGGUGAAGCUGCUUAUAUAUUGGGCAUCAAGAUCUAUAGAGAUAGAUCAAGACGCUUAAUUGGACUUUCACAAAGCACAUACCUUGACAAAGUUUUGAAGAAGUUCAAAAUGGAUCAAGCAAAGAAAGGGCUCUUACCUGUGUUACAAGGUGUGAAGUUGAGUAAGACUCAAUGCCCGACCACUGCAGAAGAUAGAGAGAAGAUGAAAGAUGUUCCCUAUGCUUCAGCCAUAGGCUCUAUCAUGUAUGCAAUGUUGUGUACCAGACCUGAUGUGUGCCUUGCUAUAAGUUUAGCAGGGAGGUACCAAAGUAAUCCAGGAGUGGAUCACUGGACAACAGUCAAGAACAUCCUGAAAUACCUGAAAAGGACUAAGGAUAUGUUUCUCGUUUAUGGAGGUGACAAAGAGCUAGUCGUAAAUGGUUACGUCGAUGCAAGCUUUGACACUGAUCCGGACGAUUCUAAAUCGCAAACCGGAUACAUGUUUACAUUGAACGGUGGAGCUGUCAGUUGGUGCAGCUCUAAACAAAGCGUUGUGGCGGGAUCUACGUGUGAAGCGGAGUACAUAGCUGCUUCAGAAGCAGCAAAUGAAGGAGUCUGGAUGAAGGAGUUCAUAUCCGAUCUAGGUGUCAUACCUAGUGCAUCGGGUCCAAUGAAAAUCUUUUGUGACAAUACUGGUGCAAUUGCCUUGGCAAAGGAAUCCAGAUUUCACAAGAGAACCAAGCACAUCAAGAGACGCUUCAACUCCAUCCGGGAUCUAGUCCAGGUGGGAGACAUAGAAAUUUGCAAGAUACAUACGGAUCUGAAUGUUGCAGACCCGUUGACUAAGCCUCUUCCACGAGCAAAACAUGAUCAGCACCAAGGCUCCAUGGGUGUUAGAAUCAUUACUAUGUAAUCUAGAUUAUUGACUCUAGUGCAAGUGGGAGACUGAAGGAAAUAUGCCCUAGAGGCAAUAAUAAAGUUAUUAUUUAUUUCCUUAUAUCAUGAUAAAUGUUUAUUAUUCAUGCUAGAAUUGUAUUAACCGGAAACAUAAUACUUGUGUGAAUACAUAGACAAACAGAGUGUCACUAGUAUGCCUCUACUUGACUAGCUCGUUGAUCAAAUAUGGUUAUGUUUCCUAGCCAUUGACAUGAGUUGUCAUUUGAUUAACGAGAUCACAUCAUUAGGAGAAUGAUGUGAUUGACUUGACCCAUUCCGUUAGCUUAGCACACGAUCGUUUAGUAUUCUGCUAUUGCUUUCUUCAUGACUUAUACAUGUUCCUAUGACUAUGAGAUUAUGCAACUCCCGUUUACCGGAGGAACACUUUGUGUGCUACCAAAUGUCACAACGUAACUGGGUGAUUAUAAAGGUGCUCUACAGGUGUCUCCAAAGGUACUUUUUGGGUUGGCGUAUUUCGAGAUUAGGAUUUGUCACUCCGAUUGUCGGAGAGGUAUCUCUGGGCCCACUCGGUAAUGCACAUCACUAUAAGCCUUGCAAGAAUUGCAACUAAUGAGUUAGUUGCGGGAUGAUGUAUUACAGAACGAGUAAAGAGACUUGCCGAUAAUGAGAUUGAACUAGGUAUUGAGAUACCGACGAUCGAAUCUCGGGCAAGUAACAUACCGAUGACAAAGGGAACAACGUAUGUUGUUAUGCAGUCUGACCGAUAAAGAUCUUCGUAGAAUAUGUGGGAGCCAAUAUGAGCAUCCAGGUUCCGCUAUUGGUUAUUGACUGAAGACGUGUCUCGGUCAUGUCUACAUAGUUCUCGAACCCGUAGGGUCUGCACGCUUAAAGUUUGAUGACGGUUAUAUUAUGAGUUUAUGUGUUUUGAUGUACCGAAGGUUGUUUGGAGUCCCGGAUGUGAUCAAGGACAUGACGAGGAGUCUCAAAAUGGUCGAGACGUAAAGAUUGAUAUAUUGGACGACUAUGUUUGGACACCGGAAAGGUUCCGGAAGGUUUCGAACAUUUAUCGGAGUACCGGGGGUUACCGGAACCCCCCAGGAACUAAUGGGCCUUGUUGGGCCCUAGUGGAGAGAGAGAGGGGCCGGCCAGGGCAAGAGGCGCGCCCCCUCCCCUUGAGUCCGAAUAGGACAAGGAAGGGGCGGCGGCGCCCCCCUUGCCUUUCCCCUCUCCCACUCCUUCCUUCCCCCUCCUUCUUGGACUAGGAAAGGGAAGGGCAAACCUACUUGGAGUAGGUUUCCCCCUCCUAGGGCUCGCCACCCCCUUGGUAGGCCCUCUCCUCCUCCCCCCUUUAUAUACGGAGGAGGGGGGCACACCAUAGACACAACAAUUGAUCUCUUGAUCUCUUAGCCGUGUGCGGUGGCCCCCUCCACCAUAAUCCACCUCGCUAAUUUCGUAGCGGUGCUUAGGCGAAGCCCUGCGUCGGUAGAACAUCAUCAUCGUCACCACGCCGUCGUGCUGACGAAACUCUCCCUCAACACUCGGCUGGAUCGGAGUUCAAGGGACGUCAUCGAGUUGAACGUGUGCAGAACUCGGAGGUGCCGUGCGUUCAGUACUUGAUCGGUCGGAUCGUGAAGACGUACGACUACAUCAACCGCGUUGUGCUAACGCUUCCGCUUUCGGUCUACGAGGGUACAUUGACACACUCUCGCCUCUCGUUGCUAUGCAUCACCAUGAUCUUGCGUAUGCGUAGGAAAAUUUUGAAAUUACUACGUUCCCCAAUAGUGGUAUCAGAGCCAGGUUUUAUGCGUUGAUGUAAUAUGCACGAGUAGAACACAAGUGAGUUGUGGGCGAUAUAAGUCAUACUGCUUACCAGCAUGUCACACUUUGGUUCGGCGAUAUUGUUGGAUGAAGCGGCUCGGACCGACAUUACGCGUACGCUUACGCGAGACUGGUUCUACCGACGUGCUUUGCACACAGGUGAAUUGUGGGUUUAUGAUCAAGUUUAUCUAUGAACAAUAUUUGAAUCUUCUCUGAAUUCUUUUAUGUAUGAUUGGUUAUCUUUGCAAGUCUCUUCGAAUUAUCAGUUUGGUUUGGCCUACUAGAUUGAUCUCUCUUGCAAUGGGAGAAGUGCUUAGCUUUGGGUUCAAUCUUGCGGUGUCCUUUCCCAGUGACAGUAGGGGCAGCAAGGCACGUAUUGUAUUGUUUCCAUCGAGGAUAACAAGAUGGGGUUUUUAUCAUAUUGCAUGAAUUUAUCCCUCUACAUCAUGUCAUCUUGCUUAAGGCGUUACUCUGUUUUCAUGAACUUAAUACUCUAGAUGCAUGCUGGAUAGCGGUCGAUGAGUGGAGUAAUAGUAGUAGAUGCAGGCAGGAGUUGGUCUACUUGUCUCGGACGUGAUGCCUAUAUACAUGAUCAUACCUAGAUAUUCUCAUAACUAUGCUCAGUUCUGUUAAUUGCUCAACAGUAAUUCGUUCACCCACCGUAAAAUACUUAUGCUCUUGAGAGAAGCCACUAGUGAAACCUAUGCCCCCCGGGUCUAUCUUCAUCAUAUUAAUCUUCCAAAACUUAGUUAUUUCCUUUGCUUUUUACUUUGCUUUUAUUUUACUUUGCAUCUUUAUCACAAAAAUACCAAAAAAUUAUCCUAUCAUAUCUAUCAGAUCUCACUCUCGUAAGUGACCGUGAAGGGAUUGACAACCCCUUAUCGCGUUGGUUGCGAGGAUUUAUUUGUUUUGUGUAGGUGCGAGGGACUCGCGCGUAGCCUCCUACUGGAUUGAUACCUUGGUUCUCAAAAACUGAGGGAAAUACUUACGCUACUUUGCUGCAUCACCCUUUCCUAUUCAAGGGAAAACCAACGCAGUGCUCAAGAGGUAGCAACACUCUCCCCUCUCGUCGCUAUGCAUCACCAUGAUCUUGCGUGUGCGUAGGAAAAUUUUGAAAUUACUACGUUCCCCAACAAUAAGGCCCAUAACUUCUCCCGGGGGGUUCUGGUAACCUCCCGGUACUCCAGAAAAUACCCGAACUUCUCCGGAACCAUUCCGAUGUCCGAAUAUAGCCUUCCAAUAUAUCAAUCUUUAUGUAUCGACCAUUUCGAGACUCCUCAUCAUGUUCGUGAUCUCAUCCGGGACUCUGAAAAAACUUCGGUUCAUCAAAUCACAUAACUCAUAAUACAAAUCAUCAUCGAACGUUAAGCGUGCGGACCCUACGGGUUCGAGAACUAUGUAGACAUGACCGAGACACAUCUCCGUUCAAUAACCAAUAGCGGAACCUGGAUGCUCAUAUUGGCUCCUACAUAUUCUACGAAGAUCUUUAUCGGUCAAACCGCAUAACAACAUACGUUGUUCCCUUUGUCAUCGGUAUGUUACUUGCCUGAGAUUCGAUCGUCGGUAUCAUCAUACCUAGUUCAAUCUCGUUACCGGCAUGUCUCUUUACUUGUUCCGUAAUACUUCACCCCGCAACUAACUCAUUAGUCACAUUGCUUGCAAGGCUUAUAGUGAUGAGCAUUACCGAGAGGGCCCAGAGAUACCUCUCCGAAACACGUAGCCUUCUACUGGAUUGAUACCUUGGUUCUCAAAAACUGAGGGAAAUACUUACGCUACUUUGCUGCAUCACCCUUUCCUCUUCAAGGGAAAACCAACGCGGUGCUCAAGAGGUAGCAAGAAGGAUUUCUGGCACCGUUGCCGGGGAGGUCUACGCAAAAGUCAACAUACCAAGUACCCAUCACAAUCCCUUAUCUCCCGCAUUACAUUAUUUGCCAUUUGCCUCUUGUUUUCCUCUCUCCCACUUCACCCUUGCCGUUUUAUUCGCCCUCUUUUUCGUUCGACUUCUUCCCGUAUGUAUCUUUGUUUGUGUUUCCUUGUGCCUUCUAUAUGCUUGCAUCUUCGCUUGCUGAAAAUCUAUUGAUAUGGAUCCACUUAAAGUGUUCUACUUGGAUCAUCUUCGAUCCUUAUGCGCUCGUGCUGAAACCCCAACUAGCCUAGUUGAUGGGAAAUCUUUAGAUGAGCAUGCUCAUUUUGUGCGUCAUCGUUUGUCUGAAAAAGGGAAGCUCUUAUGGUAUCAUAUAAAUAGUUUGCUAUGCUAUGCUUGGAAUCUUUGUGAAAUGUGUGAUUUUACUUGUUGCUCUAAGAACCCUAAAAAACACCAUCCCUACCUAUGUGAGUUCAAUGAUAAUGAAAUCGUAUCUUCUUAUGCAAAGGGUGUUUAUAGCUACUAUGAUAUCGAACAAAUUGAAGAAUUUGUCGUUUUUAAGGGUGCUCAUGAAGUUGCUUCUUUGAUUGAAAAUUAUGAUUUUACUCUCAACAAAUCUGAAAAUUCUGUCAUACUUAAUUAUUGCAAUGAAAACCUUGCUCAUAAUGUCUAUGUCCAAGAAUUUAUUGAAAGAAUGAACGGUUCUUUGGAAGAAAAUAAUGAUAUGCAUGAAUAUAUAGAUAAUGAUGAUUCCAAUGAUUUGGCUGAAAUAUCCCUUGAUGAACAUGAUGCUUGCUAUUCUUGUGGCCAUGAUGCCAAUAUUUAUGAAGACGAAUUUGCUAUAGUUCCUUAUGUUAAAAAUGAGAUUGUUGCUAUUGCACCCAUGCUUGAUAGUUCCCUCGAUGAAAAGCAUGAUUUCAAUGAUUUUACUAUAAACUCUCUUGAUGCCAUUUGUGCUAAUAAUAUGCAAAACCCUAAGCUUGGGGAUGCUAGUUUUGUUAUGUCUACUACUUGUUGCAAUGAUCAUGAUUGGGGUGAUUUUUCUUAUGAUCUUGAAAAUUUAUUUAAUCCCCAUGAUGAAUAUGAGAUUGAUAAUAUUGUUUGAAAUAAUAUUGAAAGUGGGUUUGGAAGAGUGUCAACUUUAGAUCCCACAUAUUUGGAGAAUAUUCAAUCUUAUCAAAUUUUUGAUAAAAGUGGGUUUGGAGAGGUCAUGACUUUAGUUAAUGUUAAUCCCACUAUUUUGGAAGAGUGUCAACUUUGCAUGCAUGUGGAUCGUGUUGAAAAUAUUUUAUGUGAUAGAUAUUUUGUUGAAUUUGCUUAUGAUCCCACAUGUAAUUAUUAUGAGAGAGGAAAAUAUGGUUGUAGAAAUUUUCAUGUUACAAAAUUACCUCUCGUUAUGUUGAGAUCGCUAUUGUUUCUCUCUUCUUCCUUGCAUAUGCUAGGAUUUGCUUGCCUUUUUAAUUUGUUUGCCUAUAAGAUGCCUAUGCAUAGGAAGUAUGUUAGACUUAGAUGUGUUUGUCAUGUGUUUUAUGAUGCUCUCUUUGUGCUUCAAUUCUUGUCUUUCUUGUGAGCAUCAUUGAAAUCUCAAUGCCUAGCUAGGGGCGUUAAACGAUGGCGCUUGUUGGGAGGCAAUCCAAUUUUAUUUUUAGUUUUUUUGCUUUUUGCUUAUGUUUAGGAAUAAAUAUUUGUUCUAGUCUCUGGUUAGAUGUGUUUUUAUGUUUUAAUUAGUGUUUGUGCCAAGUUAAACCUAUAGGAUCUUCUUGGAUGAUAGUUAUUUGAUCUUGCAGAAAUUUCCAGAAACUUUCUGUUCACGAAAACAAUUGUUAAAAAUCACCAGAACGUGAUAAAAUAGUGAUUCCAUUUGCUGCUGGUCAAUAAAUAAAUUUUCUAGGUCUUCCUAUUUUGGAUGAUUUUUUGGAGUUCCAGAAGUUUGCGUUAGUUACAGAUUACUACAGACUGUUCUGUUUUUGACAGAUUCUGUUUUUCGUGUGUUGUUUGCUUGUUUUGAUGAAUCUAUGGCUAGUAAAUAGUUUAUAAACCAUAGAGAAGUUGGAAUAAAGUAGGUUUAACACCAAUAUAAAUAAAGAAUGAGUUCAUUACAGUACCUUGAAGUGGUCUUUUGUUUUCUUUCGCUAACGGAGCUCACGAGAUUUUCUGUUAAGUUUUGUGUUGUGAAGUUUUCAAGUUUUGGGUGAAAGAUUUGAUGGAUUAUGGAACAAGGAGUGGCAAGAGCCUAAGAUUGGGGAUGUCCAUGGCACCCCCAAGAUAAUCUAUGGACACCAUAAAGCCAAAGCUUGGGGAUGCCCCGGAAGGCAUCCCCUCUUUCGUCUACUUCCAUCGGUAACUUAACUUGGAGCUAUAUUUUUAUUCACCACAUGAUAUGUGUUUUGCUUGGAGCGUCUUGUAUGAUUUGAGUCUUUGCAUUUUAGUUUACCACAAUCAUCCUUGCUGUACACACCUUGAGAGAGCCAUACAUGAUUUGGAAUUUAUUAGAAUACUCUAUGUGCUUCGCUUAUAUCUUUUGAGUUAUAUAGUUUUGCUCUAGUACUUCACUUAUAUCUUUUAGAGCACGGUGGUAGAUUUGUUUUAUAGAAACUAUUGAUCUCUCAUGCUUCACUUAGAUUAUUUUGAGAGUCUUAAAUAGCAUGGUAAUUUGCUUAAAUAAUCCUAAUAUGCUUGGUAUUCAAGAUUAGUAAAAACUUUCUUAUGAGUGUGAUGAAUACUAUGAAAAGUUUGAUGCUUGAUAAUUGUUUUGAGAUAUAAAGAUGGUGAUAUUAGAGUCAUGCUAGUUGAGUAGUUGUGAAUUUGAGAAAUACUUGUGUUAAAGUUUGUGAUUCCCGUAGCAUGCACGUAUGGUGAACCGUUAUGUGAUGAAGUCGGAGCAUGAUUUAUUUAUUGAUUGUCUUCCUUAUGAGUGGCGGUCGGGGACGAGCGAUGGUCUUUUCCUACCAAUCUAUCCCCCUAGGAGCAUGCACGUAAUACUUUGAUUUGAUAACUUGUAGAUUUUUGCAAUAAGUAUCACUACAGGAAACAGCUACUUUGCCGUCUGCCAUGGCGGACGGCAAAGGCUCGAAAGGCGGACGGCAAAGACCUUUGCCGUCAGCCGCGGACGGCAAAUGGCUCCGGCAAAGAAGGCUACGGAAACAGCUUCUUUGCCGUCUGCUUCCUGGCGGCGGACGGCAAAGGCUCUUUGCCGUCUGCGGCGGACGGCAAAGAGGGCGGACGGCAAUAUUUGCGCUGUCAGUCCGUUAAGUGGCUAACGGCAGACCUUUGCCGUCCGCCGCAGACGGCAAAGAGCCUUUGGUCUUUGCCGUCCGCCUUAUGAUGUCAUCUACACGUCACUAGAUGCCAGGUUCUUUGCCGUCUGCCACUGUAGGCAAACUGCAGGUUCUUUGCCGUCCGCCACGGACGGCAAAGUCUUUGCCGUCUGCCACUGUAGGCAAACUGACCAAAUGGGUCAGCUCCCAGGAAGCACAGUUGGCUACCACGUGGCUUCUUUGCCGUCUGCGGCGGACGGAAAAGAGCUCUUUGCCGUCGGUGGCGGACGGCAAAGAGCCUGCAUAUUGUCUGUUUUUUCUGUUUUUUGUUAAAUCCCACAAUUUGCACAGAAAAUAUAUAUGACAUAUAGAUAUAUUUCACAGGCAUUCAUCACAUAAACAAGUUCAUACAUCAUUUCAUACACAAACAAGGUCCAUCCAUCAUUUCAUACAUAAACAAGUUCCAUCCAUCAUUUCAUACAUAAAGAAGUUCCAUCCAUACAUAAAGUAGCACUCCAUAGCUAAGGUGACUAGAAUGAGAAGACAAGAAGAAGAAGAGUAGAACAAGCACUCCAUCCAGCACAUAAUGAAAUCUGCAAAAUGGCAAAAUAAGAAAGUUAGAAAUGGAUCGUUUUUGAGCUAACUUAGUUGAAAUGGAUCGUUUUUGAGGUAACUAAGGUGAAAUGGGUCGUUUUUAGCUCACUUAGGUCAAAAGGAUCGUUUUUGAGCUAACUUAGUUGAAAUGGAUCGUUUAUGAGCUAACUUUGUUGAAAUGGAUCAUUUUUUAGCUAAUUUAGUUGAAAUGGAUCGUUUUUUAGCUAACUUAGGUGAAAUGGAUCAUUUAAGAGCUAAUUUAGGUGAAAUGGAUCGUUUUUUUUGCUCACUUAGGUCAAAUGGAUCGUUUAUGAGCUAAAUUAGUUGAAAUGGAUCGUUUAUGAGAUAACCUAGGUAAGAUGGGUCAUUUUGGAGUUAACGUAGGUGAAAUGGGCCAUUUUAAAGCUAACGUAGGUAAAAUGGAUCAUUUAGGAGCUAAUCUAGGUGAAAUGGGUCAUUUUUGAGCUAACUUGGAUGAACUGCAUCAUUUAUAAGCUAACCUAGGUAAAAUGGGUCAUUUUGGAGGAAAAUAAGCUAACUCUAGGUCAUUAUGGUAAGCAUAUUGGAGGAAAUAAAGCUAAGUCUAGGUCUUUAUGCAUUUGUUAAGCAAAACACUAGAGAAACUUACCGUGAUCAGGGAGGUGUAGGACCGGGGUGGCUAGUGCCGCUACCUGGAGAAGGAUCAUGCGAUGCGUUUCUGGAGUUAAGCUGCAACAAAGAUCAUUUUCAAUGUCUCGUUAGCAUUACGACACUCAAAUGUUGAGACUACCAACUAAUGUCCAUUCAAACUAAACUCACCGUGCUCCCAGGAGCAAUCACUGGCAUCGGCGGAGCGGGCUGACCGGACUUCUCGCACACAGACUGCACAUUUGGUUUUCAGAACAGAGUCAUACUAGUUAGUAAUGAGACUCAAAUGUUAAGACUAGCAAGUAAUCUGCAGAAGAAACUUACCACAAGGAGCUCGUACAUGGCCCUUGCCUGCAUGUCAUUCCGUGCCCUCUCCUCCUCCAUCAUCUUUCUCGUCCUCUCCUCCAUCUCCCGCUGCCUCUCCGCCGCCUCCGCCAGAAGUUUCUCCGUUCUAUCUCUCUCAGUCUGUAUAGCAGCCUGCAACACCACUCACAUGACCAUUUGUAAUCAUUGAUGGAAGCGCACACAAUGUAAUGGAGACAGAUAACUGAGUACGUAUCACUAACCUUGAUGACGAGUUGCACUGGCCGUUCACGAGGCCUUAUCUCAGGAGCGGAGCUCGACUGGCGCGCCUUGAUCUCCGAGAGAGUGCUAGGACAACGGAUAAGUCCAUCUCCAAUGGCUAUGGAGCCAUGGGACCUCCCGCCACCAGAUAUCAUCACCAGCUCUGGAUCAAUGGGACCCUGGCUCGGGUUAAAGUCCUCCCCUUUCCUCGCCUUCCCCUCAUCUCUAUAUCUCACGAGCUUGUUGUGGGAGGAGAUGUUGGUGAAGUUGUUUGCAUCAUCGAGGUCAGACUGAGAGAAAGCCUUGACUUUCUUGUAAGAGCCAGUGUGGGCCAUGGCAUACAGGUCGUACACCUCUGGCACCUUAUCCGCCUUAUUGUGGCGUGCCUGAAAGAGAGAAGCAAUGAAAGUUAGUAAUUAAAGGGCUCAAGCUAGCAUGAUGAAUGAAUUGCAUGAAUCAUGAAGCAAACCACAUACCCAGUUGCGCCCGAACUGAUAUAAGUUGGAGCUGCCUUGAUGGUGUGGCACACCUUCCAUUUGGGCACGUUUGUCCUUGGCCUGGUUGUGGAGGGCUAGCCAUUCUUAUGAGCACCACUCAUCGACCAACACCUCCCAACAAUCCAUCCGAUCCGCACACCAUCUCGGAGGCGCCUAAGUUAGCAAAUAGAAACUUGAGCGCUACGGCUAAGAAUUACUAAAUGAAGGAACUUAAGUAGAAGGCCUUAAGAAUUACCUUCAUGUACUGCUCCUUACUCAGGAACUUAUCGCGGCACGCCGGCUUGGUCUUCUUGAUACCACGCAAGGCGUAGUAGUCUCGAACAGCCUACACCCGAGCCUCGUGCCGUAAGUUCUGGAGUAGGCGCUUGCAGACGUUCUCGAUAACAUUUGCGCAGUCCUCCUCGUAUCCCUCCUCACACCUGUAGAAUGUCUGCAAUCAAAUGAGACAAUAUUGAUUAGUACAAUUAAUAACUAGCUAGUUGAAGAUUUUGAAAUGUGUAAAGGAGAAAUUACCCAGAAUGUCCUGAUCACCAUGUCUGCCCUCGUGUCGCACACGACACCGUCGAUAAUGACAUCCGGCGGGGCCGGGGCAGCCACGUAGUGCUCCCAGCUCAACCCAAGCUCUGGAAGCCGACCCUCACCAGGCAACGUGACAAACCCCGGGAAGUUUUGCCGGCAAAGAACUCCAAGGACGGAGUUGGGCCGGCGGACACUAUGAUGGUGGUCCCAACCCCUGCAGCAUGACAAGGCCAACGCAUUAGUUAUUUGAAGAAAUGUGAAUGCAGAAGGUACAAAAAUUUUAAAUGCACUUACGUACCUCUCCCCAUCAGGGAAGAUCAACCACCUCUGCUCGCGGGUCGCCGGCACGGACGGGAGCCGUGUAGCACCACGCUGGUAGACGGUGCCACCCUCCUCCUCAAGAUCAGUCGGCUCCCCGCCAUCAUCAGCAUGGCCACUCGGCUCCUCGGGCUGAUCCGGCCAGGUACCCCAUCCGGACGUGUGCUCCUCCGGGGUCUCGUGGGCCGAACUCUCGUGGGCCGAAGGCCAGUCGACCCGAGGCUCGUGGGCCCAAGACCCGUGGACCGGAGGCUCGUGGACCGGAGUCCGUGUAGCCUCCUCCUCGGACGAGUCCACCCUAGCAGUCACGUGCUCGGGUGAAACAGCUGGGGGUGGCGGCGAGGAAGGCGCCCUAGCAGUCACCCUACCUCCUCUCCCGCGACCACGUGCCCCACCUCCUCUCUUCCUACCUCGUCCCCUGCUGGGCACCGCGGUGGACGAAGAAGGUCCCGGCGGUGUGGACAUACUGUCCAGCAACGCUCGGCGAAGAGGUACGUCUGGAAUCGAAGACCUCAGACCACGCGCCGAGGAAGAAGGAGCCUUGGCGCGCUCCCGACCAGCGCCCACCAUCUUUCAACACCUGCCAUGACAAACAGUAAACGAAAUUAGUACAACAUAAAAAAAAGACCGACAUGAAUAAUAAUAUGUGUAUCACUUAAGUGUAUCAUCAUCAAGUACAACAUUAAAAAAUUUAAUACCUGACACUACUAAUAAUCUCGAUCAGUAUCAUCAAUAAAUGCAUAAUCAUCAUCAUCACUAUAAUCAAUGACGGGCUCAUAGGGUUCAGUGGCAUCAACAUGUGCAAGGCCACCUUGACGUAAUCGGUCAAGCAAUGACAGGUCAUCCGCAGCAGUAACCUCUUCUUGUUCCGGCUCUUCUUGUUCCUCCUCUGGGGUGAUGUCGGAUUCACUGUCACUGUCUACUUCAAUGUUUUGGGGUGAAGUAUAGCGGUUCUUGAAACGCUUUUUGGAAAGACGUGUCUCUUGGAAGAAUUCUCCUUCAUAUGUGUCUGGGUUAAUGUGAGGUUCAUAAUCCUCUUCCUUUGGGGGAGAUAGUCUACACGUGGCGGCACUUCAUAAACGACAUCCCAACCUUUCAGAUUUGGAUUAGUUUGGCAGGCCCACGGUAGAUAGAAUACUUGGGUUGCCUGUUGAGCCGUAAUAUAGACAUCAGGAACAUCUAAAUGGGUGCUUUGGUUGAUUUCAACUAGCCCUAUAUGUUCAUGAGUUCUUCUAGUCUCCUUCGGCUGAAACCAAUAACAUUUGAAGACUACGACAUUCGGUGGGUUUUCACCAUAGAAUAGAAGUUCAUAAAUUGCUUCAACUCUCCCAUAAUACUCGGUACCUCCUUCGCCGAUAGCAGAUACACAACAAUUUGUAGACUUUCGGUCGGCCAUAGAUAGCUCUUUGCCAUAGGUACGAAAGCGAUACCCGUUGAUGUCGUAUUUGUCAAAUGAACGGACCUUAUAGUCAAAACCAUUAGCGACUUGUCUCAAUUCGGCAUCCACAGACUCUGAAUUAGCCUACAAGUUUAAUAUGAAAGGAUUGUUGCAUUACGCACAAAUUAGCGAAUGAAACCGGGAUAGCCGCCUACAAAUUAGCCUACAAGUCUAAUAGAAAUUACCGUUUGUUUGAACCAAGAGAUGAAACCGGGAUAGCCGCCACCUUGCUUUGCGAGAAGCUCAUACUCUUCGACAGAAUCCUUUUGGAUCACCGCUCCAUACGAGAAUAAGGCGACGUAUCGACUGUAUGAAAUAUCCAGGAAUAAGAGCAGUUCAAAGGAAAUAGAAGUUGCGAAACUAUGUACCGAGAACUUACUCGAUGUACGGCCGCACUUCUAUCAGGUUGUUGAAGAUAUACAACGAAAUGGUCCGCCAUCGUUCGUUAUCCAAAGAUACUGGAUUUGAAACACUGGCUGGUGCGAGAUUCCCUUUGAAUAGGCUGAGGUUGGAUCCACCCUUUUUAGGGUCGUCAGCAUUGUACCGAGGCUUCGGAUUAUGCAAAUGACGAUUUUUGGCUUCGUAGUGUGCUGUCACGAAGUUUGCCGCCUCCUCAGUGAUGAAUGCCUCAGCCAUCGAUGCUUCAAUUCUACGUUUAUUUUUACAUUUUUGUCGAAGCGUCUUCUGCAUCCUCUCAGUUGGGUAGCACCAACGAUUUUGCAUGGGCCCCCCAAUCUUGCCUCGGUCGGGAGAUGCAAAAUCAAAUGUUGCAUUGGAUUAAAGAAGCCCGGUGGAAAGAUCUUCUCUAACUUGCAGAUCAACUCCGGCGCCAACUCUUCCAUUUCUUCUAGCACGCCAGGCGAUAGUUCUUUCGCACAAAGAACACGGAAGAAAUAGCUGAGUUCUGCUAGUACUAGCCAUUCAUCCUCAGGGAUGAAGCCACCUAACAUCACCGGCAUUACCCGCUCAAUCCAUAUGUGCCAAUCAUGACUCUUGAGACCAAAUAUCUUCAAUUUAUCAAGACUGGCUCCCCUCUGUAGAUUCGCUGCAUACCCAUCGGGGAACAUCAACUGCAUUUUCACCCACAAGAUAAUUUCCCUCAUAGCCGGCCUUCCAAGAUUGAACCAUGCCUUUGGCUUCGUCCAGUUCUGCUUUCCUUUCGGUUCUUUCAUGUUUUGUAACGGCCUAUCACAUAGCGCCUCCAGAUCGACUCUAGCCUUAGUAUUAUCCUUUGACUUCCCAUCUAUGCCGAACAAUGUACCAAAAAGUGCCUCGGCGAUAUUCUUCUCAAUGUGCAUCACGUCGAUGUUGUGUGGGCAAAGGAGGUCUUUGAAGUAAGGCAGAUCCCAUAAGCAUGUUUUGUGAGUCCAGGCGUGCUUAGAAUUAUACCCCUUGAAGUACCCUGGACGCUCGGGAUCUGGCUCGAGAGCGUUUAACUGAUCCAGGGUCUGUUGGCCUGUCAAUGCAUGUGGUGCAGAGUUUUUGACAACUCUACCUCUGAUGAAGUUCUUCUUGUCUUUCCUGAACUUAUGGCGAGGAUUCAGGAACUCUCUAUGCAUGUCGAAGCAAGAAAACUUGCGACCGGCCUGAAGCCAACGAAACUCAAGAGCUCCCUUGCAUGUGGGGCACGGGAACCUUCCAUGCACACACCAGCCAACGAAUAGCGCAUACGCCGGCAAGUCAUGCGUCGAGUACAUGUACCAGACAUGCAUUAUGAAGUUCCGUUUGCUAUAGGCAUCGUAUGUCUUGAACCCAUUAUCCCAGGCUUCUUGCAAUUCGUCCUUAAGCGGUUGCAUGUACACAUUCAUAUUUUUCCCCGGAUAGUUGGGCCCUGGAAUUAUCAACGUCAGGAAAAUGUUCUUUCUUUGCAUAAUCUGUCCGGGGGGGAGAUUGAGUGGAAAGACAAAUACGGGCCAACAACUGUAUUGGGCUGCCGUCAUACCAAACACACUAAACCCAUCCGUGCUGAUGCCGACUCGAGGAUGCCUCGGAUCUGCCGCUUUGUCACCAUGUAAUUCAUCAAACUUUUUCCACGCAACACCAUCCGAUGUGUGUACAAUCAUCAGAUUCCCAUCUGCAUCUAGUUCGGUUCUUUUGCCCGUUUUGUGCCAUGUCAUCUGUCUGGCCGUCUCUUCGACCAUGAAAAGACAUUGAAGUCUUGGUACGAUUGGCAUAUACCGAAGAACACUAACGGGGAUUUUGGUCUGUGUCUUCUCACCCAUACCGUUGUCUACCACAACAUACCUGGAAGACUUGCAAAUGGGACAACAGUUCAAGUCCGCAUAGUCAAGCCUAAACAAGACACAUCCUUUCUCACAGGCAUGUAUCUUAUCAUAGGGCAUCUUCAGUGCACGGAGGAUUUUGUCCGACUGGUACAGGUUUGCAGGCAUUACAUGGCCUUUGGGUAGAAAGCGUCCAAAUACUGUCAUCAUUGCAUCAUAGCAUUCUCUGCCCAAGUUGAACUGAGCCUUCAGAGCCAUUACUUGUGAGAUGGCAUCCAAAUGACAAAGCUCAGUGUGCUCAUGGAGUGGACGUUUUGCAGACUCCAACAUUUCAUUGAAGGCCUUUGCAGAUUCCUCCAUCUCCUCGUCCGAAUCCCGAGCAUCAUCAAAGUCUUGCACCAUGUUUUCCAUACCGGUACCAUGCUCGUCGGUGCGACGACGAUCCACCUCGGCUCGGUCACGUUGGGCAGACUCACCAUGAAAUGUCCACACCGUAUAAUCGGGCGUAAAACCACUCUUCUGCAGGUGUUUGCCCAUUUCAGCCUCUGUCCUCUUUUCCCAAUUGCCGCACCGUAAACAGGGGCACCAGGUUUUCCUCUGGCCAUUUGCAAAUGCGGCUCGCACAAACCCCUUGGUUUUUGUGAACCAUUCAGUGCUCCAUUUGUUCUGACCAGUGUGACCGGUGUACAUCCACGCACGAUCACUCAUCUUGACUUUCAGAGCUACUAGACACACAACAAAUAUAUAUAUAUAAUUCACCAUGUAUGUAUUCAUCAGUUGAUCUACUNNNNNNNNNNNNNNNNNNNNNNNNNNNNNNNNNNNNNNNNNNNNNNNNNNNNNNNNNNNNNNNNNNNNNNNNNNNNNNNNNNNNNNNNNNNNNNNNNNNNNNNNNNNNNNNNNNNNNNNNNNNNNNNNNNNNNNNNNNNNNNNNNNNNNNNNNNNNNNNNNNNNNNNNNNNNNNNNNNNNNNNNNNNNNNNNNNNNNNNNNNNNNNNNNNNNNNNNNNNNNNNNNNNNNNNNNNNNNNNNNNNNNNNNNNNNNNNNNNNNNNNNNNNNNNNNNNNNNNNNNNNNNNNNNNNNNNNNNNNNNNNNNNNNNNNNNNNNNNNNNNNNNNNNNNNNNNNNNNNNNNNNNNNNNNNNNNNNNNNNNNNNNNNNNNNNNNNNNNNNNNNNNNNNNNNNNNNNNNNNNNNNNNNNNNNNNNNNNNNNNNNNNNNNNNNNNNNNNNNNNNNNNNNNNNNNNNNNNNNNNNNNNNNNNNNNNNNNNNNNNNNNNNNNNNNNNNNNNNNNNNNNNNNNNNNNNNNNNNNNNNNNNNNNNNNNNNNNNNNNNNNNNNNNNNNNNNNNNNNNNNNNNNNNNNNNNNNNNNNNNNNNNNNNNNNNNNNNNNNNNNNNNNNNNNNNNNNNNNNNNNNNNNNNNNNNNNNNNNNNNNNNNNNNNNNNNNNNNNNNNNNNNNNNNNNNNNNNNNNNNNNNNNNNNNNNNNNNNNNNNNNNNNNNNNNNNNNNNNNNNNNNNNNNNNNNNNNNNNNNNNNNNNNNNNNNNNNNNNNNNNNNNNNNNNNNNNNNNNNNNNNNNNNNNNNNNNNNNNNNNNNNNNNNNNNNNNNNNNNNNNNCGGGAUGUCGGGGUCGGGGUGCCGUGUCGGUGUCGGGGUCGGGGUGUCGGGUCAGGCUCGGGGUCGGGGUGUCGGGGUCGGGGUCUAGGGGUCGUGGUGUCGUGUCGGGGUGCCGCGUCGGGGUCGGGGUGCCGUGUCGGGUCGGGGUUUUUUCCUCUUUUUUCCUUUUCUUCUUCUUCCUAUUCUUCCUUUUCUUCCUCUUCUUCUUUUUUCUUCUCCUCCUCCUCUUCUUCUUCUUCCUUUCCUUUUUCCUCUUCUUCUUCUCCUCCUCUCCUCUUUUUUCUUCUUCUUCUUCNNNNNNNNNNNNNNNNNNNNNNNNNNNNNNNNNNNNNNNNNNNNNNNNNNNNNNNNNNNNNNNNNNNNNNNNNNNNNNNNNNNNNNNNNNNNNNNNNNNNNNNNNNNNNNNNNNNNNNNNNNNNNNNNNNNNNNNNNNNNNNNNNNNNNNNNNNNNNNNNNNNNNNNNNNNNNNNNNNNNNNNNNNNNNNNNNNNNNNNNNNNNNNNNNNNNNNNNNNNNNNNNNNNNNNNNNNNNNNNNNNNNNNNNNNNNNNNNNNNNNNNNNNNNNNNNNNNNNNNNNNNNNNNNNNNNNNNNNNNNNNNNNNNNNNNNNNNNNNNNNNNNNNNNNNNNNNNNNNNNNNNNNNNNNNNNNNNNNNNNNNNNNNNNNNNNNNNNNNNNNNNNNNNNNNNNNNNNNNNNNNNNNNNNNNNNNNNNNNNNNNNNNNNNNNNNNNNNNNNNNNNNNNNNNNNNNNNNNNNNNNNNNNNNNNNNNNNNNNNNNNNNNNNNNNNNNNNNNNNNNNNNNNNNNNNNNNNNNNNNNNNNNNNNNNNNNNNNNNNNNNNNNNNNNNNNNNNNNNNNNNNNNNNNNNNNNNNNNNNNNNNNNNNNNNNNNNNNNNNNNNNNNNNNNNNNNNNNNNNNNNNNNNNNNNNNNNNNNNNNNNNNNNNNNNNNNNNNNNNNNNNNNNNNNNNNNNNNNNNNNNNNNNNNNNNNNNNNNNNNNNNNNNNNNNNNNNNNNNNNNNNNNNNNNNNNNNNNNNNNNNNNNNNNNNNNNNNNNNNNNNNNNNNNNNNNNNNNNNNNNNNNNNNNNNNNNNNNNNNNNNNNNNNNNNNNNNNNNNNNNNNNNNNNNNNNNNNNNNNNNNNNNNNNNNNNNNNNNNNNNNNNNNNNNNNNNNNNNNNNNNNNNNNNNNNNNNNNNNNNNNNNNNNNNNNNNNNNNNNNNNNNNNNNNNNNNNNNNNNNNNNNNNNNNNNNNNNNNNNNNNNNNNNNNNNNNNNNNNNNNNNNNNNNNNNNNNNNNNNNNNNNNNNNNNNNNNNNNNNNNNNNNNNNNNNNNNNNNNNNNNNNNNNNNNNNNNNNNNNNNNNNNNNNNNNNNNNNNNNNNNNNNNNNNNNNNNNNNNNNNNNNNNNNNNNNNNNNNNNNNNNNNNNNNNNNNNNNNNNNNNNNNNNNNNNNNNNNNNNNNNNNNNNNNNNNNNNNNNNNNNNNNNNNNNNNNNNNNNNNNNNNNNNNNNNNNNNNNNNNNNNNNNNNNNNNNNNNNNNNNNNNNNNNNNNNNNNNNNNNNNNNNNNNNNNNNNNNNNNNNNNNNNNNNNNNNNNNNNNNNNNNNNNNNNNNNNNNNNNNNNNNNNNNNNNNNNNNNNNNNNNNNNNNNNNNNNNNNNNNNNNNNNNNNNNNNNNNNNNNNNNNNNNNNNNNNNNNNNNNNNNNNNNNNNNNNNNNNNNNNNNNNNNNNNNNNNNNNNNNNNNNNNNNNNNNNNNNNNNNNNNNNNNNNNNNNNNNNNNNNNNNNNNNNNNNNNNGGCGGCGGCGCGCGGCAGGCGGCGGCGUGGGAGGAGAAAAACGGGGGCGUGGGAGGGAGAGGGAAGAAGCGAGUAACGGGCGGGGGUACGGGCCGUUAGGUAGUAGGCUCUUUGCCGUCCGCCCCCCUUUGCCGUCCGCUUUUUUGCCUCUUUGCCGUCAGCUAGCGGACGGCAAAGAGGUGGCCCGUUAAGUUUUUCAAAAACGGGCGGGGGGUGGGGGCCAUCUCACUCUUUGCUGUCCGCCAGCGGACGGCAAAGAUUCUUUGCCGUCAGCUGGCCGACGGCAAAGAGCUGGCAGACGGCAAAGAGCUUCUUUGCCGUCUGCUUUUGGGUAGCUGAUGGCAAAGAGCUGGCAGACGGCAAAGAGCUUCUUUGCCGUCAGCUAGCAGACGGCAAAGAGCUGGCAGAUGGCAAAUUAGCUGAUUCCAGUAGUGUAUAUGAGUUCUUCAUUACUAAUGUUGAGUCCAUGGAUCAUAUGCACUUUCUUCCUUCCACUAUUGCUAGCCUUUCUAAUACCGCGCACUUUUCGCCUGUAUCAUACACCCACCAUAAACCUUCCUCAAAACAGCCACCAUACCUACCUAUCAUGACAUUUCCAUAGCCAUUCCGAGAUAUAUUGCCAUGCAACUUUCCACCAUUCCGUUUAUUAUGACACGCUCCAUCAUUGUUAUAUUGCUUAGCAUGAUCAUGUAGUUGACAUCGUAUUUGUGGCAAAGCCACCGUUCACAAUUCUUUCAUACAUGUCUCUCUUGAUUCAUUGCAUAUCCAAGUACACCGCCCGAGGCAUUCAUAUAGAGUCAUAUUUUGUUCUAAGUAUCGAGUUGUAAUUGUUGAGUUGUAAGAAAAUACAGUGUGAUGAUCUUCAUUUUUAGAGCAUUGUCCCAAGUGAGGAAAAGGAUGAUGGAGACCAUGAUUCCCCCACAAGUCGGGAUGAGACUCCGGACGAAAAAAAAGAGAAAAAAAGAGGCCAUAAAAAAAAAGAAAAGGCCCAAAUAAAAAAAUGAGAGAAAAAGAGAGAAGGGACAAUGUUACUAUCCUUUUACCACACUUGUGCUUCAAAGUAGCACCAUGAUCUUUAUGAUAGAGAGUCUCUCAUUUUGUCACUUUCAUAUACUAGUGGGAAUUUUUCAUUAUAGAACUUGGCUUGUAUAUUCCAAUGAUGGGCUUCCUCAAAAUGCCCUAGGUCUUCGUGAGCAAGCGAGUUGGAUGCACACCCACUUAGUUUCUUUUGUUGAGCUUUCAUAUACUUAUAACUCUAGUGCAUCAGUUGCAUGGCAAUCCCUACUCACUCACAUUGAUAUCUAUUGGUGGGCAUCUCCAUAGCCCGUUGAUACGCCUAGUUGAUGUGAGACUAUCUUCUCCCUUUUUGUCUUCUCCACAACCACCAUUCUAUUCCAUAUAUAGUGCUAUGUCCAUGGCUCACGCUCAUGUAUUGCGUGAAGAUUGAAAAAGUUUGAGAACGACAAAGGUAUGAAACAAUUGCUUGGCUUGUCAUCGGGGUUGUGCAUGAUUUAAAUACUUUGUGUGGUGAAGAUAGAGCAUAGCCAGACUAUAUGAUUUUCUAGGGAUAACUUUCUUUGACCAUGUUAUUUUAAGAAGACAUGAUUGCUUUGUUAGUAUGCUUGAAGUAUUAUUAUUUUUAUGUCAAUAUUAAACUUUUGUCUUGAAUCUUUCGGAUCUGAAUAUUCAUACCACAAUUAAGAAGAAUUACAUUGAAAUUAUGCAAAGUAGCACUCCGCAUCAAAAAUUCUGUUUUUAUCAUUUACCUACUCGAGGACGAGCAGGAAUUAAGCUUGGGGAUGCUUCAUACGUCUCCAACGUAUCUAUAAUUUUUGAUUGCUCCAUGCUAUAUUAUCUACUGUUUUGGACAUUAUUGGGCUUUAUUAUUCACUUUUAUAUUAUUUUUGGGACUAACCUAUUAACUGGAGGCCCAGCCCUGAAUUGCUGUUUUUUGCCUAUUUCAGAGUUUCACAGAAAAGGAAUAUCAAAUGGAGUCCAAACGGAAUGAAACCUUCGGGAACGUGAUUUUUAGGAAGAAUAUGAUCUAGGAGACUUGGACCAUACGUCAAGAAACAAAAGAGGAGGCGACGAGGUAGGGUGGCGCGCCUACCCCCCCAGGACGCGCCCUCCACCCUCGUGGGCCCCCUAUUGCUCAACCGACGUACUCCUUCCUCCUAUAUAUACCUACGUACCCCCAAACGAUCAGAUACGGAGCCAAAAACCUAAUUCCACCGCCGCAACCUUCUGUACCCACGAGAUCCCAUCUUGGGGCCUGUCCCGGAGCUCCACCGGAGGGGGCAUCAAUCACGGAGGGCUUCUACAUCAUCACCAUAGCCCCUCCGAUGAAGUGUGAGAAGUUUACCUCAGACCUUCGGGUCCAUAGUUAGUAGCUAGAUGGCUUCUUCUCUCUUUUUGGAUCUCAAUACAAUGUUCUCCCCCUCUCUCGUGGAGAUCUAUUCGAUGUAAUCUUCUUUUUGCGGUGUGUUUGUUGAGACCGAUGAAUUUUGGGGGUAUGAUCAAGUUUAUCUAUGAACAAUAUUUGAAUCUUCUCUGAAUUCUUUUAUGUAUGAUUGGUUAUCUUUGCAAGUCUCUUCGAAUUAUCAGUUUGGUUUGGCCUACUAGAUUGAUCUUUCUUGCAAUGGGAGAAGUGCUUAUCUUUGGGUUCAAUCUUGCGGUGUCCUUUCCCAGUGACAGUAGGGGCAGCAAGGCACGUAUUGUAUUGUUUCCAUCGAGGAUAACAAGAUGGGGUUUUUAUCAUAUUGCAUGAAUUUAUCCCUCUACAUCAUGUCAUCUUGCUUAAGGCGUUACUCUGUUUUCAUGAACUUAAUACUCUAGAUGCAUGCUGGAUAGCGGUCGAUGAGUGGAGUAAUAGUAGUAGAUGCAGGCAGGAGUCAGUCUACUUGUCUCGGACGUGAUGCCUAUAUACAUGAUCAUACCUAGAUAUUCUCAUAACUAUGCUCAAUUCUGUAAAUUGCUCAACAAUAAUUCGUUCACCCACCGUAAAAUACUUAUGCUCUUGAGAGAAGCCACUAGUGAAAAUUGUGGUCCCCGGGUCUAUCUUCAUCAUAUUAAUCUUCCAACACUUAGUUAUUUCCUUUGCUUUUUUACUUUGCUUUUAUUUUACUUUGCAUCUUUAUCACAAAAAUACCAAAAAUAUUAUCCUAUCAUAUCUAUCAGAUCUCACUCUCGUAAGUGACCGUGAAGGGCUUGACAACCCCUUAUCACGUUGGUUGCGAGGAUUUAUUUGUUAUGUGUAGGUGCGAGGGACUCGCGCGUAGCCUCCUACUAGAUUGAUACCUUGGUUCUCAAAAACUGAGGGAAAUACUUACGCUACUUUGCUGCAUCACCCUUUCCUAUUCAAGGGAAAACCAACGCAGUGCUCAAGAGGUAGCAACACUCUCCCCUCUCGUCGCUAUGCGUCACCAUGAUCUUGCGUGUGCGUAGGAAAAUUUUGAAAUUACUACGUUCCCCAACAAUAAGGCCCAUAACUUCUCCCGGGGGGUUCUGGUAACCUCCCGGUACUCCAGAAAAUACCCGAACUUCUCCGGAACCAUUCCGAUGUCCGAAUAUAGCCUUCCAAUAUAUCAAUAUUUAUGUAUCGACUAUUUAGAGACUCCUCGUCAUGUCCGUGAUCUCAUCCGGGACUCCGAACAAACUUCGGUUCAUCAAAUCACAUAACUCAUAAUACAAAUCAUCAUGGAACGUUAAGCGUGCGGACCCUACGGGUUCGAGAACUAUGUAGACAUGACCGAGACACAUCUCCGUUCAAUAACCAAUAGUGGAACCUGGAUGCUCAUAUUGGCUCCUACAUAUUCUACGAAGAUCUUUAUCGGUCAAACCGCAUAACAACAUACGUUCUUCCCUUUAUCAUCGGUAUGUUACUUGCCUGAGAUUCGAUCGUCGGUAUCAUCAUACCUAGUUCAAUCUCGUUACCGGCAAGUCUCUUUACUUGUUCCGUAAUACUUCACCCCGCAACUAACUCAUUAGUCACAUUGCUUGCAAGGCUUAUAGUGAUGAGCAUUACCGAGAGGGCCUAGAGAUACCUCUCCGAAACACGGAGUGACAAAUCCUAAUCUUGAUCUAUGCCAACCCAACAAAUACCUUCAGAGACACUUGUAGAGCAUCUUUAUAAUCACCCAUUUACGUUGUGACGUUUGAUACACACAAAGUGUUUCUCCGGUAUUCGGGAGUUGCAUAAUCUCAUAGUCUGAGGAACAUGUAUAAGUCAUGAAGAAAGCAGUAGCAAUGAAACUAUAACGAUCAUAAUGCUAAGCUAACGAAUGGGUCUUGUCCAUCACAUCAUUCUCCUAAUGAUGUGAUCCCGUUCAUCAAAUGACAACACAUGUCUAUGGUUAGGAAACAUAACCAUCUUUGAUAAACGAGCUAGUCAAGUAGAGGCAUACUAGGGACACUUAUGUUUUGUCUAUGUAUUCACACAUGUACUAAGUUUCCGGUUAAUACAAUUAUAGCAUGAAUAAUAAAAUUUUAUCAUGAAAUGAGGAAAUAAAUAAUAACUUUAUUAUUGCCUCUAGGGCAUAUUUCCUUCAAUUUACACCUUCGGGCAUAAUUCCUUAUAUAAAGAAUUCCUGAACCGCCUUAGCAAUGUCCUGCUUAAUUAAACCCCAAUUCCUCUGAAAGAAUCUUGCAGGAAAACCAUCCGGACCUGGUGCUUUUAGUGGACCUAUCUGAAAAAUGGCGUCACUAAUCUCUUCCUCAGAGAACGGUUUACACAAUUCCUCAUUCAUAUCAUCAUUGACGAGGGGUUUCACCAAGGGAAUAAUACGAGAGGGAUCAACAUUAGUAUCACAAGAAUAAAGAUGCUGAAAGAAGGAAUUUGUAAUACCAAUGAUUUCAUCCACAUUCUCAGUAAUAGACCCAUCAUUCCUUUUAAUAGCGGAAAUAUUAUUUUUCUUCACCCUCCAAGAAGCCUUUCUCUGAAAGAACUUCGUGUUACGGUCCCCCAAAAUCAUUUUCUCAAUGCAAGACCUUUGCUUCCACAUGACUUCUUCCUUUAACAGAAGUUCAUCCAUCUCCAGGAGAAUUUUCCUUCUCUCCAUCACGGCUGCCCUAUCACUUCUUUUAAACAGAAGAUUUAAUCUUUUACGAGCAGCCUCCAUCUUUUUUGGGACACAACCAGUAUGCUCCUGACUCCAAUAGUGCAGGUCUUUCAUUAAUUUAUUGAGAUUAGUCACCACAUCCUUUAAAUUCCUAACUUGCGAACUAUUGCUCCAAAACGCCCUAACCUGUUCAUCCAAAGCCAUACUCUCCCUCUCCCAAAAAGCUUCAUAUCUCAAAUGCUUGUUAAUAACGACAUUAGGCCGACUACACAUCAACUGAAUAAACAAAGGAUAAUGGUCUGACCUUGAGGAAAUAACAUGUUGGACCUUGCACUGUGGGAACAUAGCAGUCCAUUGGGGGCAUGCCACCGCACGAUCAAGACGCACUUUCACAUUUCGGAGGCCAUCCUGCUUAUUAUCAUACAUCCAAGGCGCUCCAUGAAAACCCAAAUCGAAUAAUUGCAAUACGAAAGAAGCUCCCGGAAAUUUGCCAUGAGCUUAGGAGAUCUUUUAGUACGAGAAAAAUGCUCAUACUGCCACAUAGCUUCAUUAAAAUCGCCGACCAUAAACCAGGGACCAGAACCCUGAAGUUUAACUCGUCUCAAAAGCUCCCACAUGACAUACCUUUGGGUCGCCUUUGGUUCUCCAUAAACACAAGUGCAUCUCCAUCUUGAUCCAUCACUCUUACAUAUGUACAGAUCAAUAAAAUGGUCCCCAAAUUUGUUUAACUCCACAGAGAAGCUAUCAUCCCAGAAAAUCGCUAAACCACCACCUUUGCCUUUACCCGAAACAGAAAAUACAUUUUUCAUACCCAAACGGUACCGCAAACUUUCAACAUAAUCUUUAUUUUGCCUAGUCUCAGAAAGAAAAAUGAUGUUGGGUAGGUAAGCUUUAUUAAUACAAACUAAUUCUUGAACUGUACGAGGCCGACCCAGCCCUCUACAGUUCCAACUGAUUAUUUUCAUAGCUCCCGACGGGCGUCAUCACACGCGCCCGUCAGUUGACCAACAGCCCCCGGGUCGGUAGCAUCCUUAACAGAGCCCUCAUCAUCUUUUCCCAUCCCCACAGACUCUCUCCUUCUACCGUGAGCCACCUCCUCUCCACCAUCUACCUCUUUUGUUACAUGCACCAUAUUCCCAUCUAUGCCUACCCGGGUCUCCACCCUCUCCCCACACACUUUUUUUACAAGCAGGUGGCACUACAUUGACUCCCUUGGAUUCUACACUCUCAGAGCUAGUACUUUUAAAACCGACCACAAGGUCCUCGCCAUCAGACAUGCGUCUCUUGUUGCCCGCCGAGCUUAUGAGAAUAUCAGCAAAAGCCGCCUUGCCACUGGAAAGGUCGCUACCACUAUUCGGGGGUGUAGGGACCCCAAACUGGACAUGCGUCGCGCAAGCUGCCGGCACGACAUCACGUUCCUCUUGCUCCUCCCUAUGCAGUCUUCUCCACCAUGCCACGUUCGUCGAGCCACCAGGGGUAGCCAGACUAAGGCCGCCACCCCCAGCAGCCUUGUCCACCUUGACGCACGCUCCAGCAGCAUCUUGAGGCAUCACGCCGAACGGAGGGAGUAAGAAGUACACAGGGAAUCACAUCGACGUUAAUCCUUGCACCUACCAGCUACCACCUCUGUUUUUAAAUCUAAGACGUUUUUGCAGUUUACUCAUAACAGAGGGUGUAGUAUUUAUUUUUGAAAGAAUUCUACCUACGAACUACUCCACAAUGCAAGGAUUCGAGCAUCAAACACCAGAUGCUUACAAGAUCUUCUAGGCUACCUUUUCCAGUCCUAGCCAACCCUCCACCGAAAGACCAUCGUCGACUCAGCUUCAUGCCCUCACUGCGAGAUAUGAUAUUUGAUAUGAGAUUGCUCACCACCCUCGCCGGGUGGUUGACGCCCCUUACGAUUCUACGGGGAUGUUUAAUUCCCACAUAGCACUUCUUUGUCCCCUAGUUGCUCAUGUUUAGCUGAAUCUCGGCAUUGUGGAUCCAUCCUGCACGGACAUCAUCAUGACGUCUGCUCGCCCCUGGCCUCAACCCCAACAUCUGACCAUGGGUGGAUCUCAUCAUUCUACGGAAUAUAUAGGACUCAACAAACACCAUGGUUUUCAACUCCGACAUUUUUUAAUCUCGAAUCACUAUUUGGAAUUUUGUGCAUGGUUUCUCCCUAUGGACCACACAGUUAAAAGCCUUAGCAAAAAGGGGAUAUUUCCAAGUUUUGCCCGUUAUUCCUAUCCUCCCGCCUUGAUGCUCCCAUGUAAUGGAUACUAUUGUGUUUGAUUGGAGUAAUAUAUUCAGGUGGGGAACCUCUUCCCCCAUGUCCGUUAAAAAAAUAUCAUUUUUCAUUCCCGACUUCUCUAGCUGAACUGACGACGAGGCUGGCACGGGUGGGGAUCACUCUUCCUUUCAUGGUCUUGCAACUUUGAAUGGUGAGUCAUGACCGAAACGCUCCAAAAUGUAAACCACAAUGGGGAUAAUAUGACUAGAAAAGAAAGGCAUGCUUGGCUAGUGGCGGCGGACAUCGCCUACUUGGCAGAGUGAUAAUUGCAACCCUCUCCUCCAUCUCACUCUAAACAUCGGUGUCCGCUGGAAGUUGACGCUAAACGGUCUAGUCGUCUAACAACUCGGAUGCUCUUAGACAGGAGAUGAAGAUCUACGAGUUCGGCAGAAAGCGUUUUUUGCCAUUGAGUUCUAUUACCUAAUAGAAUUGUAUUACCAGAUAGAGUUUCUUUUUGUGGAGAGGGCUAAGGCUAUAUAUUGGAGUACUGGGCGAUGGUGAGGUCGGGGCUCGGGGUGGAGUAGCUCACCAAAAUUUCACCACUAGCUAAGAUGAAUCAAUUCAAUCAACUCCAAGUCACUACAAUAUCAAUCAAUUCAAUCAACUCCAAGUCACUACAAUAUCAAUCAAUUCAAUCAUCAACUCCUAGUCACCCGAAUUAUUUUGAGCCAUAGUAUCAAUCAGUUCAAUCAACUCCUAGUCACCAGUAGCUAAAACUUUGGAUUUAAUUCACUCUAAUUCAAUCAAUCACAGAAAUUCUAAAUAAUUUUUAAUUCACUCUAAUUUAAUAAUUCAAAUUUAAAAAAUUGACAAAAACUUUGGAUUUGGAUUUAUUUUUUUGAGAGAGUUUUUUAGGGCAAUUUUUUGAGAGAUAAGGAAGAGCCAGUCUUGGCCUGGGCCUCGUUCCACCAAGGCUGGCCCAGUAGCUUGCUGUGGGAAUCCAAGCCCAGCCCAACCCACAAGGCUCCUCCUUUCGUUUCGUUCGGCUUAUAGCCGAGGCGGAGUCGCGGAGGAGGCGGUGUUGCUUCGCUUCGCUUCGCUUCGCGGGAGGGAAAGUCGGCCAACCUUCCCGCUGCCGGCGUCGGCGUCGGCGUCGCCGUCGGUCGCGUCUCCGCCCGCAGGUGAGCCGCUGGCAUCCUCUCGCCCCUCCCCUCCCCCUCCGCCUCCCCCGCCUAGGGUUUGGUGCUUCCCCAACCGUUCCGUUCCGUUGGGCUGACGAGCAUUUCCCCCGUUCCGUUGUUCGUCGCAGCCGCAGGCGCCGCCGCCUCGCUCUUCCUCUCCGACGACGCGGAAUCCGCCGCUCCUCCCGCUUCCGCACGUCCGCAGGUGCAGGUGAGAAGCGCGCGCCCCCACCUCCCUCCCCCUCUCCGACCCCCGCAGCAGCGCAGUCCCCUGCCUGCUGCUAGUCAUCAGUUAAUCGGCGGGACGGGGCCACGCGUUUCCGGUCGGGCGCCGCACGCUCCGCGGCGGACGUUCGCAUCUGGGGUCGGGAUUUUGGCCGGGAAGGUUGUGCGGUGAACUGCUCCUGGCCGGGAAUGUUUCUGCGAACUGCUCUUGGCCGACAGAUCGUUUCUGCAAAUUUUGGCCGGGAUUCGGGAUCGGGAUUUUUGCCGGGAUUUGCGUCCCGGGAUCCCGGAUAUUCCGUUCUUAGUCAUUAGGUAGUAUCAUAUUACUUGAGCUCUGAAGUUAUUGCUGUGAUUCGUGAAUCAUGCCAAUGAUGCUUGCUAGUGUUCCGAGCAGUUGGAAGCAGUUAUUGCUGGUGAUCUAUUAACCGAGUGACAUGCAAUUUUACUCGACUUGUUCUUAUUGCGUUGCUGAGCCCAAUUUCUGUCUGCCUUGCAUUCGGAUGCGUUUGUAUUUCAAUCUUCUGCUGAUGUUGAGAAUCAUUUGCUAGUUUACUUGCGUUCUAAGUUACUGGUAUGAUUCAUGAAUGCUUGCUAAGGGUGCCACCUACUGUAUUGUUUGUUAGGUAUUCUGAGCAAAAAAUCCUUCUGAUUUUGUUAGUUCCUGAGCAAAAUUGGUUGCUGAACCCUUUAUAUAUCUGUCAACCUUGGCUGAGUGUUAAAUACUGGGUGUUUUCUAGGAUACGGAUGCUUUCACAAAGUUAAUUAGCUCCGAUUCUCCAGGCAAGCAUUCAUCUUCUUUUGAUUGACAUUUGUCUUGCAUUGCGUCGAAUGCCGCAUACAACCUACGGUGUAAAAUGCUGGCCUAUUUCAUACGCCAACCGUGUAGGUGGAUGCAUGUAUUUUCUACCUAGACAAGAUCGCGAGCUUGUGUUCUCCCGAAUUAGUUCUAGUUCAUUGUUGAGUAUAGUCUGUAAAUUCUAUGGGCAUGGUGCAUUUGGAUGCAUAAUUAAUGAACUAUUUCAUUUUAUUAAAAAAAAAUUGGUUCCUGGCUUCCUGCUCUAAACCAUAUGUAUUUAUUGCAUCUGCUGAUGUUGAGAUCCAUCUGCUAUAAUAUAGAGUUUACUUGGGUUCUUAGUUAUUUGUGUAAUUCAUGAAUGAUUGUUAAUGGUGCCACCAACUCUUUUGUUUGUUACCGUAUUCUCAGCAAAAAAAUCCUACCAACUGUUUUGUUUGUUAGCGUAUUCUCAGAAAAAAAAAUCCCUCUGAUUUUCUUAGUUUCUGAGCAAAAUUGGUUGCUGAACCCGUUAUAUUUAUCUCUCCCUUUGCUGAGUGUCAAUAUUCAGUUGCUUCCACAAAGUUAAUUAGUCAAGUACUAGUUGGUUCAUCUGCUAUAAUAUAUAGUUUACUUCAGUUCUUAGUUGCUGGCGUGGUUCGUGAGUGCUUGCUAAUGGUGUGACGACUGUUUUGUUCGCUACUGUAUUCUGAGCAGAUAUUGCAGCUGAUUGUUUGAGCUCUUGUGAUCUUCUUACUGAGUGGCAUGCAAUUUCAGCUGACUUGUUUUCAGUGCGUUGCCUAGCCCAACCUGUAUGCAGACUGCUGUAAGAUGGGCUGUGAUGUGGGAUGUUCUGUUGGAAUUAACUUACUGCAUGGAGUAUACUAGUACUUACUAUUUUGUUUGUUCCCAAGAAAGAUUCUUGAUGUGCUUUCGAUGCUUUGCUGCUUUGUGAUGAUGAAAGCUGAACCUGAAUGUCGAUGGUAUGUGUCGUCCAGAAUUAGUUCUAGUUAAUUGUUUAAGCAAGUUGUUCUCCUUUGCAAUGGCGAAUUGUUGGCAAGUUGGUGCCUCCUUCACAAAUUGUGUAGCUGAACAGAAACAGUUCUUUUUCUUCACUUUUGAUUUGUACUAGUUUUGUUUUACGGGCAAAAAAAAAAAACUACAGCUGAUCGACUGAAUCGAUUCAUCUCCCAAUCAAGUACCAUCUGUUCGAUACUACAUACUUAUAAGAUUAUGCAUCGCGUUGCAGAGAUACCUCGUCAUUGGUGUCCACAAUGUCGCGGACAACUUGCAGCUGCCCCCCAAAGAAGUGUUUCCAAGGGUAUGUGUACAACCGCACACACUUAGAAUGACCUGAACCUGAUCUAUCCAGUCAGCUGGUUAAGGCUAAUUGCUUUGUUAUGUGCAGCACUUGUGACUGUUUAAUAGGGAUUGAGUUAUGCUAUUCGGGAUGCAACUGCAGUGCUGACUGCCAGAACGGCUUAUCUCUUGGAACAAUCAACCCGGCUGCUGCCCAAGGUACCACCCCAACGCUUGCCUCUGGCUCUUCUGCUGCCCAAGAUACUGCUCAAACGCAACCGCUUGCCCCGAGCUCUUCUACUGCCCAAGGUAUCGCUCAACCACAUCCACUUGCCCCGAGCUCUUCUACUGCGGCCGUGCCAAAGCCAGAGGCAGUUGGUGGGCGGGUGAAGUGCAACUGCAGCUUUACCAAAUGCCUAAACUGGUAUGUUCAAACACAGUGGCUGAAUUAUCUGAACCAGAUCUAUCCAGUCAACUAGUAGUUAAUUGGUAUAUUAGUUGUCCAAAGCUGCCAUCUAACUGUUGCUUGAUAUAUUGCGUGCAGCCAAUGCACAUGUUUCAGGGAGGGUUUGAGUUGCAUGAUGGGACGCUGCAAGUGCUAUGACUGCGAGAACAACCCAGAUUGGCUGGUAAGAUAUUCGUUAGAGGGCACUGCAUUCAUGAACACCGUGCUGCUCUGGUGUUUGCCAAGAACCUGAAACAAAUAUGUUGCACUUAUUCCAGGCCGACGAGGAUUACGUGGAGUGCGCGUGCAAAACCAAAAAUUGCAAAACCAGAGCCUGCGGUUGCAACAAGGUGCACGGUUCUUCCUUCUUGUGUAUUCGUGUCAGCUUUAUCUCCUUUGCAAAAGACUAGACAUGCUUAUUCUUUCUCUUAUCCUGACUGAGGCUAGUUGGUUCUUGAUUUGAAGAAACUGAAAGGGUGUAACCCAAAUUGCACGUGCAUAGGGUGCGAGAAUCAGUACGGGAUGAAAGGGGGUAUGUGCAUGACACUUUCUUCUUUUAUGUGUGUUGUUUCAUUCGUAGCUUGGAUAAUCAUGCUAGUGUAAAUCUCUGUUGCUCUGCAUGUACAAAACAGCUGAUAAGUCCAAUGCUGGACCGGGAGGUACGGGUGGCACAAGUGACGCCGGAGGCUCGGGUUCCAACAAGCAAAUAAGAAUCGGGGUAAGUUUGUGCUUCCACUUGCGCAGUUUGUUGAGAGAAAUCAUAGGUUAAUUAUGUGUAUGUCUGCCCCAAUCUGUUGAGGGAUAAGCAACUAAUCCAGGUGAUCUGCUCCUUUUGUGCAGUGAUGACAGUAGGCUUGAGACAUACCGGAGCAUGAUGCAAGUCACCUUACUUACUUACCAUCCUCAAGACAAUUGCCACUCAUCUCCUGUUCAGAUAUCUCCCACUAAAGCACAGCCGGGUUCCUGUAUAUUCCUUGUAAUGGUUACUCGAAGCAAGCAUGGCGACAACCUCCAUGUUCCUCAGCCCUCGGGGGGCUCCAGUGGACCUAGAUUGAUCAGGCUGAUACACUUUAGAACAUAUAUACUUCUGAGUCGCGUAAGAAUAGUUGCCGUCACCGGUUCGGCGUCCAUAUAUGCUGCCCGGAAAUGGGUGCUUCAGUUCGUUCUUAUACAUGCACAGUCUUGCAAAUGAUUUCUCUUAUACUUGAAGAAGAUUCUGGUAGUAUGAAUAUGGUUUGCAACUUUGCAUAUUCUGGUAGCAUGAAGUGAUACGGUUAUUCUUUGUAUAGACCAGUUACACAAGCAGCACUGGUUGCUUGCUUGGAACAAGAAUGACAUCUUAGAUAUUGGGUUCCAUUUGGUUCAGUAAGCGUUCAGUUUUU
Molecule: long non-coding RNA, 57928 nt
Filed under: Triticum aestivum (bread wheat)
Lineage: Eukaryota; Viridiplantae; Streptophyta; Magnoliopsida; Poales; Poaceae
Description: long non-coding RNA (TAES_LNC019853)
Source: RNAcentral